CUUUUUCAAGGUGCUUAGUAAAGAAUUUUUCGACUUGUUGAGCUGAAACAUCGCCUCUAUAGUCACGACUUAUGAGGCAUCUCCCUUUCAUAUCAAGAAGAAACAGCGCGGAGAUGGCACCCGCCAUUGAUCUCCACCUGAUUAUAACACAAAUCAAAAAAAAAAUAAUAAUAGAGAUACUACGUAAUAAAUUCAACACAAAAUAAUCAUGCAAAUGUUAUAUGAACAAAAAAGACAGAGUUAAUUUACGUAUAGAUUAAUUUUUAGUAAAAUGAAAAAGCUUAGAGAUCUGGUAAUUCAGUUUCAUUUGUGUAACGUUUUGAGAUGGAACCGGAUGAUAAAGCACGUGUUUUUAUACAACAUCACUAUAAAAAAAAUUUAUGUUAAUGAGAUCCAUCACCUAUAUAUGUUGUUGUACGUAAGUAAAUAAAUAUUAUUUGAAAAUAAAUAUGAUAGUGAUUUUUUACAUAAGUAUAAAAUACGACCAUAUAUGAUUUUAACAAGCUAACACUUUUUUUGUUUGUUUUAAUGUAUAUGAAAGGAUUGAAUUUGUUAAGAAAAAUAUAUACCAACUUAAAAUGAGAUAAGAAAAAACAAUAUUUAACUCUAAUAGAACUUAUAUAUUCUAAUUCGGAUUAAUGUAAUUGGUGGCAAACUGUUCUUUUAUGGCAAGUCUUUUAUUUUAGAUGUAUGUUUUUUCAAAAGUUAUUUAAUGCAAAUUUUAUAUAUAUAUAUAUUUUCAAAUUCAUUAAUCCAAAUUUUAAUGUUUUUUUUUCUGCUACGUCAAGAUGAGUAAAAGUGGUGUUGCCAUAUUAUAUAGUAAUAGUAAUAACGAUUCUCUGCAAAAAGUAUUAAAAAGUGUAGUCUGUUAGUGAUCCAAGAAUAUGUCAUAAAAUUCGACUUAUAAGUGACAUCAUUCACUAUUCCUACACAGUUUCAUACGUAAAAGGUAAAACUGUCAUUUGUAAACAAAUAAUUCUUCAACACUAAACCUAUAAAUAGUAAUUUUAACAGAAUAACAAUGAUCGGAAAAACAUAAAAUAAUAUGAUAAUUGAUGAUAAUAAUGUAUUUAAUUGUGAUAGACAUUAUCAAUAUUAAUGAAUGGAGAGGCAAGUUAUAGUGACUGACAUCUGAAUGAUUAAAUAAAAUUCGAUAUAUAUAUAUAUAUAUAUAUAUAUAAUAAAUACAAAUAAAUUUGAUCAUCAAGAUCAACAUUUAAAAAUUGAAUAAUCCACCACUAAUUUUAAUUUAAUAAACAUCACGCCCUUUAGAGUAUUUAUAAAAAGCACUCACUUAGCCAAAUGUUAACGUUAUUUUAUAUUUUAUAUCAUAUCAUAUAUAUGCACCACUAUUAUUUUCACUAUCUUUUUGGUGUUUCUCUCUUCCACUUUUAAUUUAUUCCCCUCCACUUUUGGUUUUAACUUUUAUAUUUUUUUGAAAAAAGAAGGGCUUAAAAAAAUCACUCCUAGUUAUAAAAGAAUUUACUCUUAAAAGAGUAAAUAACUAGCUAUAUAUAUAUUACAUAAAAUGUUUUUAUAAUCCCAUGUAACUUAGAUAGUUCAUUAAUUUUUGUGUUCCUUAUAAGCCUAGAUAGAUAUGGUUGACCUCUCCUUAUGAGUAGGAAAAGAAUAAUUGUUCUCAAGCCUGUCAAGAGCAGCUUUUAAGUCUCCAUUAUUCUGUGUAUGACUAGUAUUAAAUUUUUAAAAAAAUUGAUCAUAUAUAUUAUUAAUAUAUCUAGAUAAUGGUCACCAUUAACAACCAAGAAAAGAGUAACAAUAUUAGUACACUUUUAUUUAUCUAUUAUGUUAUAAAUAAUAGGUAUUCAUAUUUACAUGUUUAGCUUAGAAAUCAAGUGUUAAUUUACCUUUUUUUACUUAUCACCGUUAACGAUCAAGAAAUGAUUAAUAUUAUAGUCAUCUCUCAGUUUACUUUAACUUAUCUACUAUAUUAUAAAUGUUGAUGUUCAUUUUUACUUGUCUAGCUAAUUUAAAAAAUGAAGAGAUCAUUUAAUAUUUUGAGUUCAAUUUCCAACUAACGAGAUAACAUAUAAGGAUGAUACAUAUAGUAAAGUUAUUAUUCUAUUUAUUAUUAAAAAAUUUAUUAAAUUAAACAUAAACAAGUAACAUAAACAAGUAAAAUAGAACGAAAGAGUAUAAUAUUGGAUUUAAAAGAGUCCAUUGAAGAAUGAGUUGACCAUGCGCAUUGAUUAUGACCUACUAAUAGAGGUGGUAUAGAGUAUAAAGAUCAGUUAUCAUAUCAUAAUCCUAAAAUAUAUUGCUUUUAGACUACUAAUAGCACCCUUUAAUCAACAUAACAAAAUAUAUUUUUUAUUAAUUAGUUUUCCCUAUAUAAUACUCCAAAAAUAACAAAAAUAAAGAAGUGAACACAUGUACUCUAAUAGAUCCUUGGUGGGAAAAGUUUCUUUUCCAAUAAACUUAUAUUAUUGGACUGUGUCUAGCGAUCUUUUCUUUUAAAAAAAAAUUACGAAUAAGUACAAGUAAAGGGGGGCUAGGUUUUACCUUAUCAAUCCUAAUAAAAUGGAAAGGAAAACAUCUACACCAAAAGUGAUUUUUAGUGGUAGUUAAAAUAAUGACAAUAGCUUAAUUGUCGCUAAAUAUAAAUUUUUAGCUCCAAUUAGCACUUAUUAUAAAUGUCCCUAAAGCCUAUAUAUGACGACAUUGAAUCCAAUGACAAUUAAUUAAUGCCAGUAAAAAUUUUAGCACUCUUUGUUAAUGCGUAUAUUUAUUACUGCUAUAAGCUAUUUUCGUGUAUACACGCGACAUAAUUGUUUCAAUUCACCACAUUUUCAAUAUUUAAUGUGUCACACUUAAAACUUGAUGAAUUUGUGAUCUAAAAAUAAAUUUUGAAAUAUAGUUUUUCCUUAGAUAUAUAUAUCUAAGAAAUUCAACAAUUUAUAUAUACAAAAUCAAAAAAAAUGAUCUUUUACCUUAUAUGAACUCCCUUUGAUCUCUUUUAACUCUGCUAUUGUUUUCUAACCAAAUUUGUCAACAAUAACCUAGACAUUUGCCAAGAGCAAUAAUACAUAUUUUUUUCUAUUUAAGCAAAAGAGGAAAUGAAAGGGUAGAAGGUAAAAUUAAAUGGGGGAAACAAGGUCAUAGUCAUCUUUUGAUAUUAUUAUUAUUAAUAAUAAUAAUAAUAUUCGAAAGAGAGUCAUAGUCAUCUUUUUUAUCAUAAUGUUUUAUGUACCUCCCUACCAUUUAUUAUUAUUAUUAUAUUGUCUUUUUGUCUUUUGCCCUUCAUUCCUUCUCCAUCACUAAAUUAUGCUCUUUGCCUUCUUACCCUUUCUCUCUAUCAUCAACAACAACUUUUUCUAUAUUGGAUUUUGCUAAGUUUCUCUUCAUUGCAAUUAGGGUUUUUCCCUUUUGAGUUGGCUUCAAUUCAUCAAUAUCAAUACUAGUGGUAAACAACUCUUUUUUUUAUGUUACUACUUUUGUUAUAACAAAUUUUCUCAGAAAAAAAAAAGGUACUUCCCUUUUUUCAUUCUUCUUAUCAUAGAAUUAAACCUAGUUCACACAAAUAGGUAAAGUACUCACAAAUGUUUUAAUUCAAUUUAUAUUUGGUCUAUGUUAUUUAUUUAUUUUGAUUGCUAGAAUAUAUACUCUCUUUUUUUCUCUCAAAAGGUUUAGAUAAAGUUCAUUAAAUACUUUACUAUAUACAUGUCAUAUUUAGUUCUUGAUCUAGGGUUUACUUGUUUUUGUAUUUACAUAUACAAAAUGUAUCCCCAACUACUACAUUUUUCAGAUCUUACAAUAUGCUCACUUUACUUCUCAUUACUUAUAACUCAAUUCAAACAAAUCUAACCAGAGUUUGCUUAUAUGAGUUGAUUUCUGAUCGCUCGAUCAAUAAUUAUUAUUUUAAAUUUUAGUUAUGUUUUUUGUUGAAAACUAUGAUCAACUUAAUAUCUGUUAGAUGAGUGACAAUUUUAGAAAUCAACCUGAUCAUUCUAGUGUUUGUGCAAAAGUUGCAGGAUGGUAUAGAUAAGACAAAUUCUUGAUACUUGUAAAAUUGAAGAAAGCAUGCAAAGUCCCUUCUUAGCCAUUAAAAAGGAAAAUAAGUCAGAACAAAAAAGAAGAUUAAGAAUUAUUUUUUCAUCAGAAAUAUUUAGAAUUUAAUCUUGAAAAUUAUCGUUUUAUAUAUUAUCAAACAUACUUUUAUCUAUGUGAUUAUAUUUCAUAAAACAAUUAAUUUACUCAAGGUAUUUUCUACUCCUUUUUUUGUGUGUGAUUUAAUUACCAUAAUAAUUAAAAGAUAUCCUCUUCUCAAUUCUUUUCUAAAUCAUUUUUAUUAUCCAACAUGCUUUUAUCUAAGUGAUUUCAUAAAAUAAUUAAUUUACUCAAGGUAUUUUCUCCUCCUUUUUUUUUGUGAUUUAAUUACCAGAAAGAUAUUUUCUUUUCUAAAUCAUUUUUUUUAUCAUCCAACAUGCUUUUAUCUAAGUGAUUUCAUAAAAUAAUUGAUUUACUCAAGGUAUUUUGUCCUCUCUUUUUUUUUUUGUGGUUUAAUUACCAGAAAGAUAUUUUCUUUUCUAAAUCAUUUUUUUUAUCAUCCAACAUGCUUUUAUCUAAGUGAUUUCAUAAAAUAAUUGAUUUACUCAAGGUAUUUUGUCCUCUUUUUUUUUUGUGGUUUAAUUACCAGAAAGAUAUUUUCUUUUCUACAUCAUUUUUAUUAUCCAACAUGCUUUUAUCUUAGGUCAUUUCAUAAAACAAUUAAUUUUCUCAAGGUUGUGAUCUACUCUUUUGAUUCAAAAUUUAAAAUAUAUUUUCUCCUCAUGAUUUCUUUUCUAAAUCUUAAAUGUGUAGUACAAGAUUUUAUUUAUUUUUGUUACACAAAGAAUUCCAAGAAAAUAUAUACACAUGAGUUGUAGAAAAAUUCAUGACAUAAAAAAUUCAUCUAUAUUAAAAGAAAAAGAGAUUAAAUGAAAUUAAUUUACUUGUUUUAUUUGCAGCUUAUAUAUAUAUAUGGCAUCAUCAAGCUGCUACAAUUCCCCUUGUGCUGCUUGCAAAUUCCUCAGAAGAAAAUGUCUUCCUGGCUGUAUUUUUGCACCUCAUUUCCCCCCUGAGGAGCCACACAAAUUUGCAAAUGUUCACAAAAUAUUUGGUGCUAGUAAUGUUACAAAGCUUUUGAACGAAGUCCUCCCUCAUCAGAGGGAGGACGCGGUCAACACUCUGGCCUACGAAGCUGAGGCCAGAGUGAGAGACCCCGUCUAUGGUUGUGUUAGUGCAAUAACAUUCCUCCAACGCCAAGUCGAGCGCCUUGAGAAGGAGCUCGACUCGGCUAAAGCGGAUUUAAUGCGCUAUGCUUCAAAUGAUAUGUCACAACCAUUAAUUGGAACUCAUCAUCAUGAAGGAGAAAAUAUUGGAUCAACACUUCAUAAUAUGGCAAUGAGUAGAAGAAUGGGGUAUGAUCAUCAUGGAGGAGGAAGUUAUUUUCCAUGGAAUGAUCAAAACAACUCAGGAGGAGGAGGAGGAAAUAUUUGAACACCUAAUUAUUUUUCCAUAAUGGAAAAAAAACAAGUUGUGUUGUGUGCUAUUUAUAAGUAUAAUAUGUGUCUACUAGUGUGUGCUAUAUGGUAUUCUAGCUAGUUCACAUGCAAAUUACUAGCCAGACCAUAAAUUUGGUUGUUUUUUUAUUAUUAUAGACUUUUUAGUAGUUUUGAGCUACUAAAAAAAAGUCAUUGUCUAAGUAUUUUAUGGCUAUAUAUUGUGUCAUAUUCAGAGAGUAGUAAAAAAAAAUGUCUGAGUGAUUGUGAAGUGUCCUAUUUUGUGGGAUUUGUUUAUGGUUUUACUAUAAUAAAUAAAUAAAUUAUUUGAUCUGUUCAUUGUAAAAGGACAUUCUAUACCUUACUAGCUAGGUAAUUAGUCAUCUCUUUAUUAGAUAUAUUUAUAUAUAGUUAUUAUAUACUUUCUUUUUUAUGUUAUAGGUUUCAGCUUUAGUUAUAUAUAUAUAUAUAUGGACCACCUUUUUUUAAAUCUAAUAAUGUGAAAAUUAAAGCUGCUAAGCUAGCUAGUUUCAAAGGGAAGUCUAAAGAAGUGAAAUAUAUGCCUUAGUGAUUAAUUCUCAUCAAAUGUAUUACUUAUAUAUACAUUCUUUGUCAAAUAUAAUAACCAUGAACCAAUGCAAAUUGAUGAGUUGGGGGAAGAGAAUAACUCUAGCUCUAAGUUAAAUACACUUAAAAAGAAAGCAAUUAUUUAACAACAAUAGUUUAAAUGUGAUUAAAUAUAUAUUUUUAUAGGCAAUAUAAUUACUUCUUUAGUCUAUAAUUGUUUAUCAAGGUGUAUAAUUUGACUAAUAUAACUUUACAACACCAAGAAUAUUAAAAGUCUACAGAACUUUUUAAUUGAACAAAAUGUAGUUAUUAUUAAGGGAAAAAAUGAAGAAAAAAAACAACUAAUUAUUUAUUGAUUGUUUAAAUUGACAAUUAAUCUUGGAUAUAUAAUUUUAGUAUACCUGUCAAACAUUUGUGGACAGAAGGAGUAGCAUUUUUUGUAAAUGUUUGUAAAGUCUACAAAGCGAUAUUAAAUCCAAUUAUGACUAUCAACUAAUGUCCGUAAAAGAUUUCGUACUUUUUAUUUAUAUGUAAUAUUUAUUUAUUAUUAAAAAUUAUUUUUGUCGGAGUAAUAUAUGUAUGGUUUGUGAAUCACUAGGGUAAAAUUCACUUGUUCAACCUCAGGAAAGUCAGAUUUUUGCUUUCACACAUUGCUUAUAAUUAUGUUCAUUUUUCAACAUUUUUAGAGCUUUUAAAUCACUAUUUGGCCCCAAUACAAACUUAAUUUCCUAAUGCUUCCUGGAUACAUAUAUUAUAUAACGUAUUCUACUCUCAUUUAAGAUUUUUGUGACAAUCGAAUUUAGAAUUUAUAUAACAUGUAAAGAGAAAAAUAUAUACUAAGUGAAAAUUGAUUCCUAAUCUUCUACUCUUUAAGUGAACAACUCAACAUUUAUUUUUCUUUCUAAUAGUGUUAGUGUUCGGUAUUAUAUACAUAAAAUAUCUAAUUUUAUGCCGAAAUCAGGAUUCAUAUUCCCCAUUUUUAGGCUAUAAAUUCGCCAUGGGCACGUAUAUGUUGAAUUAUUAUGUGCAUGUUGGUGCCUAAAAAUUCUUAGAUAACACUAAUUGAUAUUCCUAACAUCUCCUCUCCCACCACCCCUUUUUUAUGGGUCAAGUUUGUAGAAAUUCUUUUUGAUAAUAGAUGACGAUAAGAAGCCAAACCAAAAUCUAUGUUUAUUGCAAUAUCAUAUUAAAAUUGCGAUAUCAUAUUAAAGUGUAUAAUUAUCAUCUGAGAGAUAAUGCACAAGUACUUCCUCAAUCUAUGUUCGAAAUCUCAGAGACACACUUAUACUAUACUAAGGUCCUAUUAUCCCUUGAACUUAUUUUAUUAAUAAUUUUCCAUCCCUUUUUGGCCUACGUGGCACUAUCUUGUGGGUCUAACGCUGGUUGACUUUUUUCUUCAAGCUAGUGCCACAUAGACCGAAAAGAGAUAUAAAAUUACCUAUAAAAUAAAUUCAGGGGUAAUAAAACUUUAGUAUAAUAUAAGAGUAUCUCUAAAAUUUCGAACAUAAGUUGAGAGGUACUUGUGCAUUUUCCCUAUUAUCUGAAAACAAAUAUUUAUUUACUUUAUCUCGUGCAUCUUCAACGAAAAGCAUGAUAGUAAUAAUUAAUAGUACAAAUUUGGUGUGUGUAUAGAUAUACAUACACAUGCAUGUUCUCUUGAUAAAAAUCCGUGUUGCUGCUGUACUUGUAUAUAUCAGUAUAAAGAUAUAUUAUUUUUUAUUUUAAUUUAUUUGUUUUAUUUUAUUUCUCUAAUUAAUUUUUAAAAAAUUAAUUUUUAUGAAAUUCUUUACUUUCAAUUUUUUCAUAUGACAUUCUUAAGAUAAUAAAAUUAAAGAUCAUUUUGAUAUAUUUUGGUGUAUCUAUAAUUUAUAAUCAUAGGAUUCAAACACUGGUAAGUUAAAAUAGAACAAACAAAUUGAAAUAAAUUGAACAAUAUUAUAUAGGAGUACUUACUAUCUCAGGUUAUAUAAAUUAUUUUCUUUUUAGUCAGUUCCAAAAAUAAUGACAUAUUUCUAGAUUAGUUGAUCAUGUUACUAUAGUUAUCUCAUAUCCUCUCCGUCCACUUUUAGUUGUUAUGAUUUCUAUUUUUAGAUUCAAAUAAUAAGAACUUUGACUAAUAUUUUAGAUGUAUUUCUUUAUCAGGUAUGCGAAAAAUUGUAAUAGUACUUUUCAUAUAGUUUUUGAAUACUUAAAUUUUUGGUUUCAAAUAUUGAAUUAAUGUAAUCUAAUUUAACUUUAAAAAUUAGUCGAAUUCACUUUUGAAAAGCGCAAUAUGACAAAUAAAAGUGGACGGUAUGAGUAUUAAUUACUCCCUCCGUCCAUAAUUGUUUGUCAUGUUAAGGUCAUGCACAUCCCUCAAGAAAAAUUUAAUACAAUGUGUGAUUUGACUAAUGUUACCCUAUCAAUAACAUCAAAAGUCUACCUAAUUUUCCAAUUGAACUACAUUAUCAUUAAGGGCAAAUUUGAAAAAAGUUACUGAUUGUUUCUUGAUUAUUUAAAUUGUCAAUUAAUCUUGAACAUCUAUUUUUAGUAUACAUGUCAAACAAUUUUGAACGGAGGGAGUAUCUAUCUUAUUAAAUCAAGAAGUUAUUAAAUGUAUUACAAAUUGUUUGUAAAAUUUCCAAGUAGUUUUUUUAAGAAGUAAAUUAGUAAAAUUAUCUUCUUAUUUAUGAUUUCUUAAUAUGCUUGUAAAAAUGAAAAACAAUCAACUAAUAUUGAAACAGAGGAAAUAAUAAUUUAACUUUAAAAUAUUUAUUUAUAGUUACACAAACAUUUAUAACGUAUUUUAUAUUACAAUUUUUUAAAGAAAAUAAUUUUUCUUUAAAAAAAUUAUUUUUUAUUAAGUCAAACUAUAUUACAUAAAUUGCUACGGAUAAUAUUUUCUCUUCAUCUAGCUGUUGUUGUCGGAGAUGAGAAGCUACUCUUUUUCUUUGUAUUCUCAGAAUUAAAAUCAGGGGUAGUUGAAUCAACUCUGUCAGGUUCAACAUCAUCAAAAGAAUCAACUUUGGAUUUUCAGUACUCAUAUAAUUAUUUGCACUCGUGUGUCCUAUUUAUUUUUUUUAAAAAAAAAUCUUAUUUUUCCACUUCAAAAAAAAAAUUAAAUAAAUUCAUGACUUAAUAUAUUACUCCAUAUAUUCAUUCAUAUAUUUGAUUUUAGAAAAAAAAUUAAAUUAGAUUGAAAUAUGAUUAUAUAUAAAAGUAGCAUAGGCACUAUGAGUCUAAGUGAAAUUGAUCAGUACCAUAAGUGGAACUCCAAUUUUCAAACAAAAGUGUCUGUGAAGUGUGGUCCUGCAAAGCUAUAAUUUUAGACAAAAAUAUUUAAAGUUUGAUCUUUGUUAUAAGGUCAUACUCUCAGUCAAAUAUGUCUGAAAUUGGUAAAACUAAAGUCACAUUUUUUUUCAGUAAAAAGAGAGUCCAAAAUUGACAUUAGCAAGUCAUAUAUGUAUAAAGCCUUGCAAAGGCCAGGUCUUUUAGUAAAAAGUGUUUAAUGUUUGAUCGUGACAAGUCCUUAUGUAUCUUAAGUUUUGCCGAGGUUAAAAUUUUAGUAAAGUAAAUCUGAAAUUGAUCUUAUCGACCUUCACAAGUUCAAAUACAGAACAGACAAAAAUUUCUAAAGUACUAAGUCUGAAGUUAUUUCCGAAGCAAUGAACUUGCAAAAUUAAAUUAUAAUUUUGCUAGAACAUAAGACGCGUACAUAUACCUAAACUUCAAGUCAAUCUUUUGCAUCUAACUUGAAAGGAAAUUAUGUAACAAGGCAAUGAAAAAUAAUAAUAGUUUAAAUAAAAAAUCAUUUUAUGUUGUUUUCAUAGCAAAUUUUCUCCCGUGCCUCUCCUCCUUCUCUCUCGCCUCCCUCCUCCCUCAUGCCAAUAAGAGGGAAUCCAUACAACAGUAUUAUGUAGGAAUUGUAUUUCAUCAAAUAUAGGUUAGUUAUACUCGAAAAUUUUAUAUUUUGUAUCAAUAGUAUUGCAUUCAUAUGAAUACAAUAUACAUUCAUUCUUGGCUAAAGUCAUAUGCAGUCCCUUAAAGUUGUCCGCAUAAUUCACUUAGACACCUCAAUUAGGACUUGUACCUAUUGGACACGUCUACUAAUUCAGAUUUGAACCUUUUGAAUACUUUUGUGACAAUCAGCUAAAACUAUGAAAUGUGUGUUAUACACUCGCGAUGAUGUGGAAAAUGGACAAAUCAAUUACGUACAUGUGGCAUUUUGAUGGGGAAAAAAAAAGAAAAAAAAUUGAAGUGUUGUCAUCACUUUGAAAUUCUAUUCUUUACCAUUGUCCCCUCCUCCACCAUAGUUGUCCAUCACCUUGAAAUCCUCUUAACCCAGUAUUAUGUUUUCAGAUCUGUUUCUUUUUUUUUUAAGUUGAAAAUAGCAAAUUGCAUAUACAUGAAAAUUAGUAAUACAUGAACCUACAAAAUAUGAACUAUUAUAAUUUUAGAUAUCAAUAAAAUCAUUGACUAUAUAAUCAUCUAAGCAGAUUCAUUUUUUUAUUUUAAAUCUAAUUUAUUAGAUAUAUUUUCGAUAAGAAAAAAAUGGAAGAAGAAAUAGAAAUGUCAUUGUAUGAGUCUAUAUUUUUUCCUGUAAAUAAGAUCACAAUAUCGAACAAAUUUAAAGAAAAUGGAGAAGAAAAUCGUAAUGGUGUUUCCAUAGUUGAAUAUGAUAGAGGUGAGGGGGAGGGAGAAAGAGGAGGCAGGAGAAAAGAAAAGGGUGAAAGGUGUUGGUGGCAACAUCAUCGGCGGAGAUGGUAUUGGUUUUGAAAGAAAUGGCUAAGGAAGAAGGAAGAAGAAAGAAGGAAGGAGAAAGAGAUUUAAAAAAAAAUAAUCAAAAAUACGUUUUGACGCGUUGAAUGGAUGUGUAUUACACUUUUCUUGCCAUGUCAGCGAAAAGUGUCAAAUAGGUAUUUAUUCUGAACAAUAGAAGUGUUCAAUAGGUAUCAGUCCUAGUUGAGGUGUCUAAGUGAAUUAUGCGCCAACUUUAAGGGGUCGCAUAUGACUUUAGGCUUCAUUUUUUCUAUCAAAUGCAUUAUGUAUAUCUAAUCAAAAAGAGGAUGAAUAUAAUUGUAUUUGUUGCAUUUCAAAUACAAUUGACACAGAACACAAAACAAUUAUUCAUUACAAAAUAAAUACAAAAUGCAAUCCUCUCUCCACCCUCUCUCGAUCUCGCUCGCCCAUUUCCUCCUAAUAUAUUCAUUUUGAUACAAACGCGUAGCAAAAUCAAAGUGUAACUAUGAAUUAUAAUAGUGAAAUUAUAUCUAAAGAAUCCUAUUUAACGCUUAAUAUUUGCUAUUUUUUAAAAGUUUCCCCCUUUUUAACUUAACCAGGGCACGUACACGUACACAUAUAUCUCAUUCUUCAAAUUUUAAUAAUCUAACACAUGAUUCAACCCUUAUGUGGGGAAUACACAUAUAGAGGAUGGAUGGAACAUCAAAAACAUCCAACAAAAUAGAAACAAAAGAAUUAGUCACUUCUAUACUCAAAUUUUCUGAUCGAUCGAUUUAAUAAUUAAUCCAUAAAGAUACAAAGAAACAUAUAUCAUAAUUUUUGGUAGGGGGGACCAACUUAAAUGUUCACUGUAAAUUUGAAAUCUGUCAUAUUUAAUUACUAUAUACCAUAUAAAAUUCACCUGCCCUAUUGCUUCUUUUCCACGUCUAACUUUAUGUAAGACAACAGAAACAAAGAAUGAUUGAUCGAUGUGUGCUUCAUAUAUUAUUUUAUGUACAAUGUUCACAUUAUUUCUUUCCAAAUACUACUUGCAUUUUGUCUUUCAUUCAUACACUGAAAAUAUUGGGGCCUAACAGCGUACAAAUCUAUCAUUUUGAUAUCGUCAUUUAAGUUGUAAUCGAAGUUGAAAUUAUUUGAAAAGGUCACUUAAAUAAUUCUACAUACUUGAGUGCUCUAUAGGUUGGUCGUGAGUUAUACUUUUUGAAAAAAUAACGAGUAUACAAGUUAAAUGGGGUUUGACAAUACAACUAAUCACAUGUACGACUCUUUUAGAUUUGGAUGGAUUAAUGAUACAUAUGUUAAUGCAUUUUGACUCGUUCAAUACAAUCCAUCUACAAAUUAUGUUGAUCUGUUCAAAAUAUAUAAUCCGAAAUGAGUAUUGAUUUAUAAAAAUCAUGUUAAAGUAUUUUUCAUUUUUCUCAUUUGAUAUAUUUUGUACAACUAUAUAUAAGCUAUAACAAAGAGAGAGAAAAUUAUUACGUAAUUAAAAAAAUUAUAACAAAUCAAUAAAGAAAAAACCCUAGCUAGCUAUACAUAAAGUCAGAUAGUUAUAGUGCACUUAAUAUGAAUGAAGUUGAAUAAAAGGUUUGUAAGAUUGAUGUGAUGGACAUAGAAAUAAGGCAACCAAUUAGAGUUCUCAAAAUUUCAAUAAUAUUUUUACAUAAAAAAAAUUCAAAAUAUAACGAAAUUAAAAUCUGGCAAGAGUUCAGUAUAUAGAUUAAUUCUGAUCCAAUAUUUAACCAUCUUGACCCUAAUUAUUUCAUAGAAAUAGCACAAGCUAAUUACAUUUUAAUUUUAUAAUUGAAAAAGAGUAAUUCAAUAGAUAAUAAGAGGUGUGACUAUUCCAUAACAAUAUCGUUGACUUUCAGUUGUGAAAUUUAAAACCUCAUGAUAGUGAUUUUAGUUUUCAACUUAAAUCAAAAAUUUUGAAACGUAUUUUAAUCGUAUAAUAAAUUUGAUUUGACUAUUUCAAUUAAUUGGUUAAACAUAAAAAUCAAAAUUAAACAAAUUUUAAUUAGUUGACAGUUGUGAGAAAAAAGAAGAAUUGCUAAGCUAGCGUUUGACCAUAGAUAUUCAAAUUUUUUUGGGAAAUAUUAUCUGGAUGAAAAUUUGGGUGAAAUUUUACCAUGUGUUUGGUCAUAGAAUUUGAGAAACAUAUUUCAUUUUCUUAAGAAAUAUGAUUUAUACCCAUAAGUUUUUAAAACUAUCAAACUAACCAUAAAUUUGUAUUACAUAGCACAAUAGAAAUCUCACGUAACAAGAUUUAUGACUUCCGCAACAAAUCAACAAGAAUCAUUACAGUAAAUAUUCGUAUAGUGAAAAGGUCUUGGUACAAAUCAUGAUAAUGAAAAUACAACUAAUAUAAAUUAGGGGGCAAAAAAGAGAAGAAAACAAAAGGAAAUAAAUAUUGCAAUCUCUGAAGAACUAUGCUUUCUCAUCUGAAAGAGUUCAACCUAUUUUUUAAUAUAAUCUUCCCACAUUUUAUGAACAAUCUCUUCUCGAUGAGCAUGCAUUUCCGAAUCAGAUGAUAGAAAAGAUGAAGCGAUGUUGCUACCCUGAGCCAAUAGUUCGUCACUUUCAUCAACAACCAAAUCAUCAUGUUCAUAUUCAUUGAAUAUCCCAUCACUACUUUGGUGUUCACGUAAAAAGUUAUUGGUUGGUGUUAAUAAAUAUAUUAUUUUUGUAAAAUAAAAAGUUAAGGGUAAAAAUUGAAUUUCUAAAACUUUCCAAAUAAUGAAAUUUGGCCAAAAUACUAGUUUUUUCUAGUAUUUGGGAAUUUGAAAAAUUUGCCAAAAAAAUUUGCCAAAUAAUAAAAAAGUGUAUGGACAAACAAAAUUUACCAAAUUUUUUCCCAAGUUUUACUUGCAAAAUUUGUGGCCAAACGGGCCUAAAUGUAUAUUUCAGGUCCACAACCUUUCACUUAUAUGAUAGUGAUGCACAUGUGAGAGCUACAAAAACUAGCUUCUAGAUCUCCUCAUAAAAAAUCAAAAACCAAAUCAUACUUGUAACCCUCGUACAAAUGCACAGUUUAAAUACAUUUUAUCGAAAUUAAUUUUUAAUAACAAUUAAUUAAUAGUAAUCGCUUGAUUGCUAUUAAUUUUAAUUUUUUUUCACUAAAGUUUAUAUCAACAUCGAGUGCAAUGUCAAUACAAAAGAUCAACUCUUUUUAUUAAUAUACUCAUUUUGUUAUAGUGAUAGAAUGAAUCGAUUAGUUCCUUGCAUUUUUAUUUUGAGUUUCAUACCACGUAUACUAAUGGUAUAGUACUUUUCUUUUUUAAUUUUACUACUAAAUUAUUCUUUUUGGACCUAAGUAUAAAAUUAAAAUUUGGGUUCACCAAUUUGUGACUCGCGAGAUAAAAAUAAGUCUCACGCGAUUAUCUAUAUAGAUCGUGGUGUAUUAAUGAGAGUAUUUUAUUUUUAAUUAGAGGUUUCAAGUUUGAAACCUGAAUACGAAGAGAAGUUUAUUAAGAGCUUUAUUUUAAGUGAAUUCUGCAAUACAUAAUUCGAAUUUACUUAAACUCUUGAUAUAAACUCCAAAUAUCUCAAAAAAAAAAAAAGUCUAACGUCAUUAAUAUCAGUUUAAGUUGAAGUAAAAGUGUAAAAUAAAAGACAAAUGAACAAAAGUUAAAUCUAUUAAUUUUAUUUAAGUUGUCCACAAGUUAAUUCAGAGAGACAGAGACUAAGGAGCCGCCUAAAUUCCUUUUUUCAAAAAAAAAAUAAUAAUUUGGUGUCAGACACCUACUAGCUUUGGAACCUCUCUUUGCAUUACGUAAAAUUAGUUUGGAUGGUUUGGUAGAAUUUAUUAAAAUAUUAAGGUCGUUUAAUUGAAAAUGAAUUAUUUUUGAAUUAAUUAUUUGAAGAUAACGUAUCAUAUUAUUACGAUAUAAAUAAUAGAAUUAGCUAUUUCAAACAUAGAAUCAAACAAUAUAUCAAAAUUUAUCUUUUAGAUGAUUUUUAUCCAAGAUUAUUCAUUUUUACCCGUCAUACCAAACAAACUCUAAUGUAUUUAUUACUGACUUACUACUCAUUAGUUAUUAUACACUAUAUUUAGUGAUAAUACAUGAACUAUUAAUAAUGGACAGAGAUAAAAAAAAAAAAAGAGUAGUUCCUAGUAAUACACCAAAUUAAAUAUCGAAUAUAAAAUAUUCUAUAUAUCAUAAUUAAUUCGAGUAUAACUUAUAUCAAUAUUAUUGGUAUAUCGAGUAUAACUUGUCUCAACAUUAUUAAUGUAUCAAUAAGAAUAUAUUUUCAUACGCUCUAUUAAAUGAUCACAUAAAAAUAAAUUAUUUUUUACUUGGUAUAAUUUGAAACAUUUAAAUUCAAAACUUCUUUACAGCUGAAAGUAGUAGAAAAAGAGAAAAGUGGGAACAUGAAAAAAGUAUACAUCCAAAGAUGACUGACUAUUUUGAGUGACACAGUUCACAGGCUAGUUAUAUGACUAUCUAUAUUUAUUCACUUUCUCCAUCUUAGUGUAAAAAAUUUGUUGAAGUCACAAAGUGAUGAUCAAAUUUCUUUUCUUGGACCUUUCACUUGAUAAGCCUAUUAUUAGGUUACCUAUACUCCUAACUCAUGCCUGCAUGUUCCCUCUAGCACUAGAGAGGCUCUGAUUCCUAUACACACAAGAAUCUCCCUAUACCCACAAAUAAUCAUGCAAAGGAUAGCCUUUUCAAAUUAUUUUCACUCAUUCAUAAUUAAAUAACGUGUACGAAGACAGUUUCUCUACCUCCAUGAGGUAGAAGCAAGGCCUACGUAUAUUCUACUCUUCUCAAACUCUGCUUGAGAAAUUUUGACUGAAAUUAUUGGUAUUGUUGUUGUUGCAUCGCAAGAAUUGGCUAUUUACGAUAAAAAGGGCUAUAAUAUAAAUGACUUUGGGCUGUAAUUGAAAUGUCUAAAUAUUGGUGAUUAAUGAAAUAACUUACUUACACUCACCUUGGUUAAUUGAUAAUUGUGUGUACGACACGUAUCAUGUAUUUAUUGAUUUUGUGUAAACACCGGAUAGGCGGAUUCAAAUACUUCUCUACCUUUACAACUAUUGAGAGUGUUUGUGAAUGGUGCCUUUUUCAUGGGCCCCCAAGCCCAUCAAAGAGGGGAAAAGGCCUACUUUGGGCUGAACCAAUCCAAGUCACUAAACUGAAGGCAUGAUAAUGUGCAACCUUAAUGAAAAAUAUAUUUUCUUUCUCAAAUUAGAAUUGAGUUAUGAAUUUUUGAGCUGUACUAUACUCAUCAAUAAGUGCUAUAUUUGAUUCUUGUUGGUAAUGAUCAUGGUAUUCUUUUUUCAAAGUGUAUCAAGUUUGAUUGCUUCACCUCUCAUAUCGUAUCGUCACUUGAAUUCGUCAUCAGGUCUUUGAUUGACUCACCCCCUUGUAUUGUUUGUUCUUUCUAAUCGUCAUUUGAACGUUAUCAUCAAGUAAGAUUGACUCACCCCUCGUAUCGUUUCAUUCUUGAAUGUCGUCAUCAAGUCUGAUUGACUCGCUCCUCAUACUUUUUUAUCGCCUCCCCAUUUAGCAAUGAAGGUAGGAGCUCACCUAUUGUAAGAUCAACAAAAUUACUCACAAGAGGAGCAACCCUAGCUUUCUUGCAAGGUUUAGUAAAGAAGAAAAAUGCACUCAAAUCACAUAGUUCUUAUAACAACUUGACUAAAAGAAAAGAUGAACUUAUAAAAAAAAAAUGAUUGACCAAUGUAAGGAAUUUCAUUAAUUUUUUUUUAUCACCAUCAACCAUACUUGUUCCACAUAUCAACAUAAAAUCUCAAAGGCUUAGGCAAAGAAAUCCUCCAUUUCUCCAAAUCAGGUAAUCCACCAACAAUGGCAACACUGCUAUCUUCUUGCUUUCUAUUUCCAAGAUUCAAUACAAAUACUUCACCUUCAAAAACCUUAUUCAUUGCCAUUAGUGUCUCUUCCAUUAUCACUUUCCCAUCUUUUCUACUGUCUUCUGGUUCUACACACCUCCCUCCAACAUUCACCAUUAUCUUUCCUCCUUUUUUCAGUUUCCCUUUCAAUUUCUCCCAUGUUUGUGGGUUCUGAAGCUCAGGUAUCAAACACCCUUUACUAAACAAAUCAACUAUUAGACCAGAAUACCCAUCUUUCACACUGGCAUUCAGUGCAUUGCUGAUAUAGAUGAAAAGACGAUCUGGGUAUUGUUUUUCAACUUUCGAAAGCCCUAAAUAUUCUCUUCCGACGGAGAUUACAGAUGGGUCUAGCUCGUAUCCAUGGAUAACACCUUGUGGGUAUAAUUCCAGAAUCAAUUUCGCAGCUGACCCGGCUCCGAACCCGAGAAUUCCUAAUGGCCCAGGUGGUAGAAUUGGGGGAAGAGUUGCUAGAACGUCGUAAUAGGCGUUGGUGAUUGAUUUGAAGAGGAAUGAUAUGCUGUGGAUGUUACCAGGUGCGUCGAGAAGAAGAAGACGGGAACCAGCUAACGGGUGGUCGGCUCUUCUAGAAACUUCUAGAACCCGGAUGUAGUUGUGCCUGGACUUGAAUUUGACUAGGGUUUUGAUAUGUUCCAUGGGGAUUCCAUCAUCUUGUUCUUGUUGCUGUUGUUUUGUGGGAGUGAUGUAUUUGUGAUUUGAAGCUUGGAUUGGGUGGAAUUUGAGAGAUAUGGGGUUUUGAGGCUUGUGGCGGAUUUUGAAGAUUGUCGGUAGGGAAGAAGGAAGGAGAUGACAGUGAAAUGAGGGUUGGAUUUGGAUGGAGCUUUUGAAGUUUUGUGCUGCCAUGGUCAUCUCCUCCCUUAAAUGUUGAAGUGUUUGCACAAAGAGAACAUGAGGAGAGGCAGGUUAUAGGCUUAUAGCACAAGCAGAUUUUACAUUUUGGAAUUUUGGCAGUCGGUUUUCUUCACAAAACGUUUUGACAAGAUAAAAUAUAUGCAACUUUACUCCUAUCUAACCACCACUUUAUAAACCUCAGUUUUAAACCUUCAAAACACACCUAAUUGCACAUAAGCAAGCCCCAAUGCCCCCACCCCAACCAGAGCAACAUCAUCGCUAAUCACCUGGAAUUAGUUGCAAAGAAUACAUAAUUAAGAUACUUAUAGCGACUAAAUGAUAAGUACUUGGAAGCCUAAUCAGCAAUCAGCGCCCUCCAUUUAAGGAACCAAAAAGAUGAACAAUAAUCUUGUUCAAAGAAGAAAUGAAACAACCACUGUCUCAAAAGUACAUGGAUAAAUCCACAGAACUGCACAGAUAACUCUUGCAGAACACUGAUAAUAUUUGUAUGUAAUAAGCAGUAUCCAUAAGAACAAAGUCUACUUUGUGGUGCACCGGUCCAUUUACGAGAGACAGCAUUGUGCUCUCAUUCAUCAAUCACUAGCCUAUAUCCAACUAACUACAAUCUACUAUAACAACUCAUUUUUCUAGUUCCAUUUUCAGCAAAAGAGACAUCAAAACAAUUGCUCAUGAGAGGCGAAAGGUCAAAUAGCAAGGCUUGUUACUUCCGACCCAAAAAUAGUAUCAGUCAUUGCAUUUUGAGACGAUGUAGAAGAGCUUUGAACUAGGGAUGAUCAUCAACCAUGUCAUCUGCAUUGGCUUGGUCGUCCACAUCCCUGCAUCACAAGCCAUAGCACUUUAAUCUAAAUAUUCUACUAGGCUGGUCCCACAACAGUCAUUUGCACAUUACAAGGUGCAAACCAGUAAGAUUUAAAAGUAACGACUUCCCAAAAUGUAAAGACACAAUCAGAUAUGCAGGCGUGCGUAGAAAACACACACAUAUAUUUGGAACUUCACAAAGGUACUCAAUGCAACUUGAGCCCAUACCUCAUGUCAGAUGAUUCCACUGGAGUAAGAUUACUAUCUGAACUUCGCUGUCUAGGUUUCUCGUCUUCAUCAGCAUCAGACUCAUAACCAUCACCAUUCCAUAUCCGUGGUUUAGGCCUUCGAUCCAUAUUUUCCUCUUUCUGCAAUCAGUAGUUCUAGUAUAAGAUGGGUCUUGACACUUGGGAACCGUUUGGUUGGAAACUAGUUAUCCCAGGAUUAACUAUCCUGGAUUAGUAAUCCUGUAAUAACUUAUCCACCAUGUAUAUGGGAUAACUUAUCCCAUCACUAUGCUAUAAAUGGUGGGAUAAGUUAUCCCAAACAUGUCGACCAAACGGGACAUCUAAAUUUUAUCCCAGGACUAUUUAUUCUUAUCCCUCCCACCAAACAAUUUAAUGUUCAAGGUGCCACUAACCUCCUCUGGGACUUCUGUUGUAGAAGGAGUGGUCUGAAAUGGCACACUAGGUGCAUGAGGCAACUGAGAGAUUUGCUCAAGCAAUAUGUUCCUGCAGCCACCAAGUAAUUAUGUCAGGUAAUGUCAAAAGAAUUGCCUUUCUCUAUAGAAGAAAAAAGGUAGAGGUAAACAAUUGUUUGAGUUCAGCAGUUGAGUGAAGAAGAAUGUGAGAAACUUAUGGAUAAGAGAGAAAAUGUAUGUCUCAGCAUAAUAUUUCAAAAAAAAUGUUUAAAGAGUAAAAUAGUUGCCCAUCAUUAACAAAAAAUAAACACAAUCAACCGAUACUCUUGCUGUCAUACUAGUAUAAUCUAGUUACAGACAGAACAACAGAAUUUGUCUCAUAUACACCCACUGAGGCAUCAAUUUUCUUUUUUGAUAACCGGGGAAGGGCAGCCGCUACCCUUUGGGUGCACAAAGGAUAAAACUUCGCUCCUAUGCAAUAUCUCGCAAACGACACAGGAGAAGUAACCCGCUAGCUCAGCCCAGAAGACGUUACCCCUGCUUUCGCUGGCAAGGGGUUUCGGACUUGAGACCUCCAUAUGGAAGUCCCAAGCCCAAACCACUAGGCCACCCUAAGGGUCCACUGAGGCAUCAAUUUGAUGGACCAGUAUCAGGGAUAAUCUACUAUCAACUCUAUCUUCUCCAUAUAAGGGAUAAUCUGAUGGCGAAAGCCCACAAACUACAGGAAGUAGAACAAUAGUUAAAUUACCUCAUCUUCUCCAGAUCCCUAGGUGAAUUUAGAUUCUCCAUGGGAAUUGGUUCAACAUGAAGAGUAUAAUCUGGGCCAAAAUAUUCAUAAUACUCGUUGUAAGGCAACUUGUUUUCAGGUUCUACCCCAACUGCAACUGCUGUCUGUAACAAAGAAAAACAGUUGAUACUUAGCACAUAUUCUAAACAAAUAGUAGCAAUAGUAGAGAAUCUGAAAUGAAGGCGCAAAGAAACAAGAGAGAGAGAGAGAGAGAGAGAGAGACCUCAUAGCACCAGCACCUAGCGACAUUUCUUAUAGUAUAACCUCCACCACCCAAUACCAUCAGAGGGACAUUGAAGGAUCUGAGGUACCUAAGGCAAGCGGCAUGGCCCUUGACAGACAAGUUGAAGCAACCCAACCUGUCUCCAGCCAGUGAAUCAGCCCCACAUUGAAGAACAACAGCCUCAGGUUGGUAGACCUCCAUGACUUUUUGUAUUGUGGGACGAAAUAGUCUACCAAAACUAUCGUCAUCCAUCCCAUCAUGCAAUGGGACAUUUAGGGCAUAGUACUUCCCCUGAUUUGCACCAAUGUCUUUGAUGUGCCCCGUACCAGGAAAGAAAUCCCCAAACUUAUGAAAAGAUACUGUCAUGACUCUAUCUGUGGUGAAAAAAGCCUCCUCAACACCAUCACCAUGGUGAAUAUCAAUGUCUAUGUACAAUACACGCUGCACAGAAACACUCAGCAUUUCAGAGGAAAAAUAAUUCAGAACAACCUCUAAUCAAGGCAAAACAAAAAGUAAAUCAAAAGAAAAGAUCCUGCAAAGCUAUAGUUUAUAAUUGUAUGCAACAGUGUUCAGCAGUUCACGCUACAAUUAUUCAGAUCCUAUUAUUAAUAUGCUUGAUAAGUAAAAAUUAACAAGUGAUCAAGAUCAACUAAGUUCCACUUCUAGAAAUCUUACAUAGUUGUACUUAACCUAGUAAGUAGUAGUAAAACAAGAGGAGUUCAUAAGAACUAUUGUGCACAUAAAGUUGGAAAUACAUUGCAGCUUGAGUUUGAACAUGUCAAUAUUUGUUUUGAUUUGCUAAUGCUUCCAUAGAGAUGGAACAGAUCUGUCCCAGCUACUACAAGGAUAACAGCAGGCAUCUCCAUAUUUCUCCAGCAUAAAUUUGGCAAAAUCAAAGUGAAGUUUAUUAGCAAGCUUCCAUACUUCAAUUACUCUUAAAGACAGUAACAUUUACCCCUUAACAUCAAACUUCUCUGAAGUUACACCAAACGCUACAAAUCUGAACCAGUCAAUCGACAAGGAUAUGAAUCAUGAGCAUCAUGCUUACCCUUAGUACACCUCACCCUCCUCAAAAUGGUUUUCCAGAAACUUAUACACAAGGGCUGGGCCACAUACCAUAUUCACACUGAAAUUUCUAUUACUGAAUUUAGACAAGCAAAAACAACAUACCCCGUGUAAUCCCACAAGUGUGUUCUAAGGAAGGUAGGGUAUACGCAGACCUUAAUCUUACCUCACAGAGGUAACUCAACAAAUGUAGACGAGUAAUAGAAAGUUAAAAGCACCUUUCCCUUAUUAACUACAUGAUGGUAUCAUCACUUCUAUUCCAUAGUUCAAGAAGUCGUCUAAUCCCUCUCCCACCUCCCGAAUAAGUAUCCUGUAGUUUCAUCUCAAUGAAACGUGGGAUAAACUCAUCCUAAAAUUAAUCCAGGAUUAGUUAUCCCUUGUCUCUCCUACCAAGGAGUCCUAAGAAAAUAAAUAUAGUGAAAGCAGAAUGAAAAAGGUAACUAUAGGAAUAAUAAGUAUAAUGUAGACUCAUGUUAAUCAUCAGAGUAUAAAUGAAGCAACAAAAUAGGUAGGCACAUAAGAAAGGAUAAUACAAUAAUCUAAAAACUAUUUCAUUUCUCAAUUAUUACCCAUUAAAGAAGUACUUAGUAAAAUACUUUCUAUCCAAAAAUUUCUUUUCAAAGAUUUUUUUAACAAUAUAUAUAUAUAUAUAUAUAUAACUACAUCUUUAUGAACAAGUGGUGCCCUAAUAUAAAUUGGGAGCGAAGCCUUAUGGUCGAGCAAGCCAUGGCAUGUACAUUGCUAUGAAACUAUUCAGGAUUUAAAGAAACAACGAAAAUGAAAAUAUUAGCGAGUAAGCAGUUUAUACCUUGUGGACUUUGAGGAGCUCAAGAAUACCAAGAACAAUAUCAUUCACAUAGCAAAAACCAGAAGCUUCACUUUUCUUUGCAUGGUGCAGACCACCAGCCCAGUUGAUCGUUAUAUCAGCAUCCUGCCGAUUAAGCUUAACCGCAGCCCCAAUAGAUCCACCAGCAGAAGCUUGACAAAACCCAAAAAGCCCAUCGAAAACAGGACAAUCCUCACCAACAUUAAACCGUUUGAGAUGACGUGAAUGUGUAUGGUCAUGAAGAGUCUCCGGUGAAACGGUAGCAAGGAAGUCAACAUAAUCCGGCGAGUGAAAACGUCGGAUAUCAUCCUCUCCCGCCGGAAAAGGACGACUGAUUUCCAUACGCCUGUGUAGGUAGUAGUUUACGAUGAGAUUGUGGGCCAUUCUGAUACGGUGCGGCUUCAUCGGAUGACCUUGGCCGUAGUAAUAAUCGCCGAUGGUUGGCUCAUAGAAGUAAGAGACACGACGCUUCCUAGCGUCGGUUCCGGUUGAUGGAAGCGAUGCGCCGCCGUCUACGGUGGAGGAGUCCAUUAGCCACUGAUUUUUGGGUUCGGAGUGAGAGUGAAAAUGAAAUUUGGGAUUUUUGCGAGAGACUCGGCAGUCUGUAUUGAGUCCAGGAAAAUGAAAAGAGAAAAUUACUCUCCUUUUAUAGAUCUAAAAAAAUUAGUCUUUUAACUUCUAACCCUCUUAAAAGAAAUUUAAAUAAUAGCCUAUCCUUAUAGCAAAUAUUAUAUUUCCAUUAAUAUCACGACGAUUAACAUGAAUCUACAUUUAAGGUAAAAAUUCAAGAUAUUUUAAUAAGUGAGACAUAAUGAAUUUGCCUAAUUAGCUAUAAUUUUUUUCUCACAUACUAUAUGUAUCGUGUAAUUAUUUAGAACUUAUGAUAAGUUAUAGAGUUCGACAUUAUUAAAUUGUUUUUUUCGAAAAAGAAAGAAAAAAAGUUAUGGUUUAUAAAUAGGAAGAGGAGAAGAGACGAAUUUUUUCAUGAGGGCAAUGGAAAUUGGGGAAUCGAACCCUCACAGACAACCUAAAGUUUCAAAUAAUUAAUCAAUCUUCGUGACUAAAUUCGAUCAUAAGAUUAAAUAACAAUAUUUCUUUUAUAAAAACAUAAGUUAUUUAACAUAAUUAUAACUUUCCUCAACAAAAAAUAAAAUAUAUUAUACUAUUUUUAUUUAUCGUAACGAAUUGAAAUAUCAUGAAUCUCUAGCUCGCCAAAUUAAAUUUGCUAAUAUGUGGCUAAUAAUUCAAACAUGAAACUCAAGUCACAUAUUAGGCCAUGAAGGAAAAGUUUCAAACCUAAUUCAAAAGUGGGCCUUUUAAGUUUUAGCAUCAAAUGAAUCGAAUUCAAUUUUUUUCCUAAUCAAUCUCAUUUUCUUUCAAACCAAACCAAACUUAAAAAUUCACAUACAUAAUUAGAUUAGUUAUAAACGAAGCAAAGAUUUAAAAUUUAUGAAUUUAAGAUUUUAAUUUAUUCAAAAAAAUUGGAUAUUAAAAUGUUAAUAUUGUAUAUAAUGGUAUUUGUGAUACAACUUACUUAUAAAACGUUUUACCAUUAGUAACGAUUUAUGAUUCGUUAAUUCUAUUCAUCUUCACUUUUAAAAAUUGGAUUUUAUAAUUAAGAUAAUGUCUACUCAUUAUUGUGAUAUACAUUUAUUCAAGUUUUGAAUUUUUUUCAAAAAGAAUGUUUUCUUUAGGUGAAUUAAUAGUUUAUUUCAGUCAAAAAUUUUAAAACAAUAUCAAAUAUUCAUGUAUACAAUUAAUACAACUAAGGAUGUGAAAGAUUAUAGAUUCACGAUUUUAAUCUAUUUGAGUAAUCAAAUUUUAGUUAAUAAUCUUACAAAUAUAAAGCUAAAAAGUGACAUGACAUGCUUUUUUUGGUCAAUUUUUUUAGUGUUUUUCCUUAUAUUAAAAUUAAAAAUGUUGCAUUAGAUUACUGAUAUAGUCAAUUUUCUUCUAUUUUUACUAUGUUGCCUUAAAUUGCCUUGGUAAAGUAUAUCAAUCAAUGUAAUGAAUAUUGAUAUUUAAAAGGUAUAUUCAUCAUUUUAUAAAUAAAUGCUAAAAUGUGAAAAAGUAUAAACAUAAAAAAAAUAAAAAUACUUAUUACAAUUACAUGUUUUAUAUUUAUUUUGGGGGGAAAAAUAUUAAAUAUUAUCUGAUACAAUUUCUAAUCGUUUAUGGGUAUUCCCGUGGGCUAAGAUUUUUCUAUUAAAAAGAUUAAAAUGCAAGGGAAUGAAUUAUUCUAUUUCCUUAUUAAUUUCUAUAUAAUAAUUAUUAGCCUAAAAUUUCUCUAAGAACUCACUAAAUUAAAAUAGGUGGAAUUAGGAAUUAUUAUUAUUUUGUAGGUAUAUUGUUUAAUUAAUAAAUUACUAUUUAUUGAUUUAAUAAGUGUUUAGGAUUCAAUGAAGAUUAAUUUUGAUUACAUUAAAAUUAUUGUAUCGUAUUAAUUUAUGUAUCAUAUUUAUUAAAUUUACAUAAAAAAAUAAAUUUAUUAUUCAUAAAGUACACUGAAUACAUCAAAAUUCUUCUAUCUUACUAAAUUAAGUAUCAUAUUUAUUAAAUUUAAAUGACAAAUAAAUUCAUUACACAUAAAACACAAUAUAUGCAGACAAUUCAUUGUAAUAUACUUUUUUGUUAAAUAAUUCAUUGUAAAAUAAAUUCAAGAAUUCAAUGAUUCAUUGUAUAAGUAAAUGUAAUUAAUGUUUAUUAUUUCUUGAUAAUCAAAUAUUAUUCCGUAAGUGUUUAGAAAAAACAUUCAAUGUAUGAUGGUGAGAAAAUAAACUAUAUAAGCAACAUAAGAAUUUUUUUGGAAUAGUAAUAUAUAUUUUUAUUAAAUAUAAAAUAAAUUCAACAAUUCAUUGUACGAAUAAAUUCAUUGCACAAAUGUUCACUGUUUCUUAAAUAUUAUUCAUUGCAUUUUUACCAAAAAUAUUCAAUGUAUAAUGUGUAAAAAUAAACUAUAUAAGCAACAUAUAUAGAAAAUUUCUUAAAGUAAUACCCAAAAAUGAAUCUUCAUUUAAAAGGUCUCAACAAAUCAACUAUGACAAAAUCAAAUACGUAAAACAUUAUGUAGAUCAUUUUCACGUUCACUCAAAAAGAUUUGCAAUCAUGGCAAUAUCAAAACUUUUUGAAUCAACAAGUGUUAACUUUUAACAAAAAAUAAAACACGAUAAAAUCAUAUUUCACUAAAUAUAUUAUCUUAUAUAUAUUUUUACUUUUAAAAAAUUGUUAAUUUAUAAUAUUAUUGAAACCAUAUAUAUUUAUAUAGAAAUCUUCUAAAAAUAUAGAUAUUAUAAACUUAUCGAAAUGAGUAAUUCUCUUCAUUGUCUCAAGUGAUUUUUUUAAAAAAAAUUAUCUUAGAGAAAUUAUUAAUUUACCAAAUAUUAAUUUAAAUUUACCAUGUUUUCUUUUAUAUUGCUUCGAUUUUCUUCUACCUAAAAUAAAUUUAAUACAAUAGUUAUGGGCUGCACAAACCUUUUUUAUACAUAUUCCUUUCCCAUUAGAAUCCAAAUUUCACCCCACUUUUCCUUCCUACAAAAUCAGUCAAUUAUCACAUAAAUAUAAUUGAUGGUAUCAAAAAUACAAAAUCAUGAUAAAAAGAAUUGAGUAUUUUGCAGAAGAUUCAAGGUAGAAGGGAUGAAUAAUUCAUCGGAUAAGGUUAUUUCGGAAAAUAUAUUCAACCAACCCCAAUACUUUUACCCAUUAACAUCUUAGAAGAUUUCACAAAACCUUUAUCACUUAGUUUUCGGAACGGAGUUAGAAUUUUUAAUAAGGAAAUUCAAAAUAUGAAGAGGUAAACUCACGAACUAAUCGAAUAGAAGAAAGUUCGACAAUUAUUAUAUAAUACAUAAAAAUAAUUUUAACCAUAUAUAAGUAAUAUAACUUUUCAUCGAAGGGGUUAAGAUGAACUCCAACUACUAAUAAUAUGUUGGUUCCGUCCCUAAUAACAAUCAAAAUAAACGUUAUAUUUAAAUUAACAAUACACUUAUAACAGAUAAUAAUCAUCCGAACAACGUAAAAUGGAGAUAGAUGGUCAAAUAACGUAAAAUGGAGAUAGAUGGUCAAAUAUAUUUGCUUAAUUAAAUAUUUAACCUUUUUUUUUAAUGUAGCAGGUGAUGUAACACCUUAUCCCCCUUUCUCUGUUUUUUUACCUUUUAUUUUCAAAUUCAAAUUUUAAUAAUGGAAGUACAUAACAAUACGAAAAUAAAUAAACAAAUAAAAUUUAUUAGUACUUAAUUUUCCUCAUAUACCAAUUAAAAUUGUAAGAAAUGCAAUAUUUUGCACCUCAUUGUAAGACCAAAUGACCAAGGGAAUUUAUUUUAACGAGUUCGAAGCAUAAAAGGUAAAAAAUUAACAAAAUUUCAAAGGGCACAUGAAAUUUUUUUCUAAUCAAAAAGGUAAAAUCGCUACUUCGCUAUUUCGAUAGCGAUUUUAAUCUGUCAACGACGUCAAACAACCCUUUUGGUUAGAAAAGAAAUUGAUAGGCCCUUUUGAAACUUAUCGAUUGUUAUAGACUAUUUAUUUUUAUGAUUAUUCUUAAUAUUCAAAUAUUAGAUAAACAUAUUUCAUUGAUUUAAUAAAAUCUUUUAAAAUCACACAAUGUACGGAUAAAUUCACUAGCUAGUAAUAAAAAAAAAUUAGAGAACACUUGAUCAAUUGUAAAAUUAGAAUUUUUAUUAAGAUAAUUCAGAUAUUAGAAAAUAAAAACAAUCCAAAGAGCCGAAUUUAACAUUCACUCUAUAUACAUAAAAAGUAAUUUAAAUCAUGAAUAUAUAUAUAUAUAUUUAAUUUUUUUUUCAACUUGGGGAGUUCGGACGAACCCCUUUCCGGUACACUAGCUCCGUCCUAUAUGCUCAACAGUCAACUAUCUAAUAACCAUUUAACUUACUUACUUCUCGACUUUUAUAUCCUUAUAUUUAGGAUCAUGUCCUCGAUAAUUAAUAUGUACGACAUGUCCUGUCUAAUCAUAUUAACUCUAGGUCUAAUACUAAAAUAAUACCGUGUAUCAAUAUAUUGGGUACGAAAUUAUACAAAACAUUUAUGAAUCAUAUCAAACUCUAGCUCCAAUAUAAAACCUGUGAAGUUUGAUAUUUCACAAUGCUAAUUGAGUAUAAAAUUUUCUUCAAUUAAAUUCUAUCAUUAUAAUCCAUACAAUCAAAGACUAAUUUAGGACCAAACAUGUAACAUGUUAGUUGUUAGCUAAACACUCAAAAAGAAAUUGUUCACAUAAACAAAAACACAAAAUUGAGUGUCAAAAAACAAAAGAACUAUCGUCUGCAGCUUAGUAGUUGACAUAAUCAUUUUUUAAAUUCAGUGUUCGAUAAUUACAUUGGAGUCCGAUUAAAUUUAAAUUUACAUAGAAAAGUUUCACAUUGAGGCGUAAAACACUCUCUAAUAAAGGUGACUUUGCCCCCUUGACCGACCAAGAGUUCGAGACCUCUAAUUAAAGAUGAAAAAGUACUUACCACUACACCAGAAUUAUCGGUGACAUAACCAUUCUUUUGGUUAGUGCAAAAGAAAUGUCUAGGUCAAAUAAUUACGUCUUUAACUUCAAACUAAGGUUACUAUCCUUAUUAUAACAUGUUUGAUUACUUUUAAUUUCCUCCAAUAUUCCAUCUUUCAUAAUAAUCCAUUUGCUUCGAGUCUAAAGUUGUUAUAUUAGAGUAUCUUAAGAAGAAAAAAAAGCCUUUAUUCUUUCACUAAUCCUCCAAUUUAGUAAUUGAUUGUUUGUUUACUAAAGUUUCAUAUUCUCCAUCAUCAAGACCAAUUUAGUUAUGAUUUGACACAACUUUAAUUAUCUACAAAUAUAGGUCCACCACCCUGACCCUAAUUACUUUAAAUAUAUUUGAUCUGUUUUUUUUUUCUUUUCAAUCUCAAAUUCUUCUAUUAAAAGGUUCAAAGUUUGGUUUGAAUUUGGACGGAUUAAAAUGAGCUGAGUUAUUAACCCACUCAAAAGUUACUUAAGCUGAAAUAAGCUUAAAUAUGAGUCAGAACUCAACCCAUUCAAUACAGAGUUUUAUAUUAUUGACUUUGUAUUAUGGUUAUAUAUAUCAUAUUUGAUAAAACAAUGUCUUUUUGAAAAUAUUUUGAUAAAAAUUCUCAGGGAUUAAUUUGGGCUAGAUAUCAACCAAAGUUUUAAUAAGUUGAAAUGAAUUAGAUUGAGUUAACAAAUACUCAAGUUAAUGAUCAUUUCAAACAUGAGUUAGUUGAGUGAGUUAUGAUUUUAUGAACUAAUUUUAUCGUCUCUAGAUGUAAGUGUAAUUAUAAAAUGAAAAUCUACGUUUAAGGCAUGGAGUAUAGAGGAAAUAAUUUUCUCCUAAUGCUAAAGAGGAGUAGAGAGGGAAAGAAAACACGAGUCCGAAGCCCUAAGAAUAAAAAAAAAGUCAAAAAUUUCAAAGGGAUACAUUAAUUUUUUUUUUAACCAAAAGGGCUAAAUCGAUAUGUCAGAAGCAAUUUUGUUUUCACGUCAUUAAGUCUCUUAAAAGCUUAAAAUCGUUGACCUACCAGCGAUAUUUUCAAAGAAAAUCGCGGCAUGGGUAACGUUUUUGGCAAAUUCUUCUUUUAUAAAAAUAAAGUCGCUUUAACUGCAACAUUUUUAUUUUAAAAAAUUAUUUUUUUAAUAUCGCUGCCUAGACAACGAUUUAAGUAGGAUUUAUUAUACUUUUUGGCAAAUUGCUGCCAAGACAACGACUUGUGUGAAUUUUCUUUCUUUCUUUUUUAAAAUCUUGGCAACUAUUUAGUUAAAUAACUUUUAUUAAAAUAUUGCUGGCAAUUAUUUUUUUAAAAUUCGUUUAAAUUGUUGGUGAAUCAAUAUUAAAAAAUAAUUAUACAAUUUAUUUUUAAAAAAAUUGGCACUAAUUUAUUUUUAAAAAAAGUUCCACCAAGCAGCGAUUUUUUAUUUAAAAAAUAUCACGAAAAUAUCUAUAUUUAAUUUUUUUAAAAAAAAUAUAUAAAUGCUGCAAUUGCAGUGAUUUAAAAAAAUAUAUUUUUUUAAAGAAAAAUUAUUUAGUGAAAUCUUUAUUAAAAAUUAUAAUGCAAUUUUUAUUUUGAUCAAAAUAAAAAAAAUCACCAAAAUUAAAACGGCUUUUUAAAAAAAUAAUUGGCAACGAUAUUCUUAAAAAAGAAAAUUUACUAGAAGCGAUUUUUUAAUUAAAAAGAAAAAAACUUUUUUUAUAAAAAUAUUGAUUUUAAUUAUUUUUUAAAAAAAUCACCAACAUUAAAUAAUUUCUUUAAAAAUAAUUGGCAGCUAUAGUUUUUUAAAAUAUUGUAUUUUAAGCUGCCAAAGGCAGUGAUCUUUAAAAAAAAAAAACAUUUCCGCAUAAAUUGCUGCCGAGGCAGCAAUUCUCAAAAAAAAAUUUCACUAAAAUCACGUCCUAGGAAGCGAUUUUUUUUUAAAAAAAAAGGAAAAAAGAUAUGAACAAAAUCGUUGAUAGGUCAGUAAUUUUAACUUAACAGCGUGACAACAAAAUUGUUGCGUCAAUAACGAUUUUAUCCUUUUAGUUAAAAAAAAGUUCGAUAUAUCCCUUUAGAAUUUUUGAAUAAUGUUUUUAUCUUUAGACUUCGGACUCAAGAAAACAGUCGAUUAUAUAUGAAGAAAUAUUUUCAUGGAAUAACAUUUUAGGGAUUAAAGUUAUAAACUUACAUGACAAAAUAAUAAUACUAAUUGGAUCAAUAAUUAUGCAUCAAUGCAUGUUUGGUGCGCUUUUUUAUUUUUAUUUUUAUAUACACACUCUUAUUUCAAAUGCAACUAAUUUUUAAUUCCACAUACUAUAUAUUCGUAAGCUAAUACAUGGCUCUCUACGUAUUGAUUUUAUAAAAUGUGUAGAUGAAAAAUAAAGAGUUGUGAUUUUUAUAAUAAUUGUAAUUUUUUAAAAAAUUGUGAUUUUAAUGAAGAGUUGUGAUUUUUAUGAAACAUUGCGAGUUUUACGAAGAAUUGUGACUUUUGUGAAACAUUGCGACUUUUAUGAAAAAAUUGUGACUUUAUCAUAACGAUACGACUUUCACAAAGAUAAUGACUUUUGAUUUUUCAAGAGUGUUAUGACUUUUCUGACAAAACUUGUUAAACAGAGUAAUUGUUCACACUAUCUCUUGUUGUCUAUAAAUAAUGGGGUUUUUCCUCUUUCCAAAGUACAAAUUUUUCUAACUUCUAAAGUUUUGAACUUCAUCUUUUCCGCAAACAAAUUUUAGUGUAGUUUACUGUUAAUUUCUGAUAUCAUGAUUUUAUGUAUCAAUAUACCGGUAAUAAAAUGAUUUUAUUUUGAAAGGAUAUAUUCCAUUAUCAUCGAAUACUUUAGGAAUAAUUUCCUUAAAAAACACGAUAAAUUCAAUUGACUCGAUUUUCUUAUUUGAAAAAGAAAUUUUGUGUAUUAUCUCUAAUCUAUUUCAAAUUUUAUUUUCUUUACCUGUAAUUUCUAGUUUUAAAAAUACUUUUUAAAAUAUUAUUAUUUCAUAUCAAAUUCUCAAAAAUUAUUUUUCUAGAUAUCUUAAUAAUACAACUUAACAACACAUACAUUAAUAUACUCAUACGCAUUCUAAUUUGUUAUUAAAGUAGUCUCUAUAACCAUAUUAUAUUCUUCUAGAUAUAUUGUGCAACCCCAUUUAAUAGCACUGGCGAUGACCACUCAAAUAUGUAUAAUUUAUUUGAAAUCACAAACUUAUUUUUUUAUAAAGUUUGGUAUCCAUUGUCAGAUGAAAUGGUAUGGCGUGAGAGUAUUUGUAAUCUUACGUACUGCAUAAUUGAACACAUAAAUGGCAAAGUUGAGUAAAAUUGAUCUUUUCCUAUGAUUUUUCAAGGUCCACCCUUUAUGAAUUAAUUAGGGAAAUCAUUUUUCAAAAUUCUCUUUCAGUCACACGACCUUACCCCCCAAGUACCCCUAGCACAUCAACCUACCACCUUGUAACACACCCUAGCCCACCUUGAUUGACUAGAAAUUUAGAUCCGAUAUUUCUCAAUCUGAGAUCCAAUCAAAUUUGAGACCCCAUCUGUAUCCAACCCCAGCCUGACCGUAACAAGGGCUCUAACAUCGAUUCGAGACCAUCCCCAGCCUGAUACCCGACUCAGAAUUGUAAUCGACCCUGAAUCGACAAAGGACCAAACUCUCGAUCCCAACCAAAGACUUGACCUAACUACGAGUUGGGGUUAGGGUCAAGUCUCGUUGUCGGAGCCUUGUUUCAUGAUUGAGUCGAUUCGGGUACUGUGUUAUGGUCAGGUCUUGGAAUUGGGUUGGGUAUCGGGUUUGCAUAUUAGCUAGGUUGAGGUCGGAUUUCGAGAUUUGUGUUAGCUAGGGGUUGGGACAUGGGUCCUGAGUUUUACAGUAUUUAUCUAAGUUAUACCUAAAUUUUUGGGACAAUACUUUUUUCGUUACUAACCAUACACCAGAAAAUAUCUCCUUCGAUUUACAAAGUUUAUACAUCAUUAAAAUUAUUUGAAUUAUAUAUAGCUGAUAUUAAAUUUCUUUUAAUUUUUUUUUAUCUUAUUCUGAAUUCCUUAGUAAAAACCUUUUUAACUCCGGCCACACUAAUCAUCUUAAGGACAAGUUGGGUUAACUUUUGAAUAGGAAAAAUGACAUUAAAUACAAUUCCGUACUAGAUAGUAUGAGUUUAUUUUCAAAUUCUAAUAAUGAAUCUUGAAAAUAUAUUAGAAGUAUUUAUUUUCUUACUGAGAAAGACUUUGCAUGCAAGCAAUCAAGCAAUAUAUAUAUAAUUGAAUUAUUUCCAACGAAAAUUGCUAUACGUAGUUAGCUAGUAUUUGUUCCUUUUUCAUCUCACCAACAAAAUAUUCAUUAUUAAGUAUACAGUAUACAUAAGCCAAAUUACAUCACACAAAUCCUUUUCACAUUCCUUCCCUUUUUUGAGUUUUUCUUUGUUUAAGAGUCAAAUUUAUAUACAAGGACCCUAGACUUUUUUUUUGUCGGUCGAUCUUCAUAUUUAUUCAUUUUCACUAUCAUCCAAAAAUGUCUUAUACAUGUACAACAACCAUCUAGAGAGAUGUGAUCGCGAUACGUAAUAUUUUUUUUUUUUGGAUAUAUUACAAUUAGAUAUUUUGAGUUUGAAUUCUUAAUAAUAAUAUUUUUCUUAAUAUCAAUUAUUAUUGUAUACUAAUUUAAAAUCCUCGUAUAAAUUUAAGUAUAGAUGUCUCGAAAUAAUCGGAUACCACAUAAUAAACUUUUAUGUAGAUAAAUGACUAAAGUCGUCCCAAUGCAUUAAAUUUCCUUUUAUUUCACCUUGCGUAACGUCUUUCUUCAAGUUUGAAAAAACUUGUUCAUUUUCCUAUCGAAAAAAAUGGUCCCAGAAGAUAAAGUAUUUCUUCCUUUUUAUUCAAUAAAAAAAAAUGUGAUACUGAAUCUUUUAGAAGAAAAAAAAAGUGUCAAAUAAAAACAAGAAAUGGUCCAAAUAUAAUCUCUCUAGCUAUAUCCUAUAGUAGUAUUGUUUGUGAAAUAAAUUGAUCCUAGUCUAGUAAGUAGUAACACUAACAAAACUCAAUCAUAAUAGACAAAUUCCUUAGAAAGACGGAUUUCAAAUUUAAAAUUUGUAUAUUUAAUUUAAUGUUCAUGAGUCGUGAAAUUUUGUUAUACGUGUUGUAUUUAGUGAUUUUUUUUCAAUAAAUAUAUAAGAUUUGAAAUAAAGUUAUAAAAUCUUUUGCGUAUGAUUCAAAAUAACGAGAGACAGAUGAUUUUGUAGUCGUUUAGUUGGUUAUUAAAAGAUAAAGCUUGUAUUUAGAAACAGAUGUAAUGUUGUAACAUCAAAUUCAUUUUGAACUCAGUAUUUUCAACACGAAGUAUAAAUAUAUUUAAAGAAGUUUAUUAAAAUUGUAAUGUAUAAUCGGUUCAAUGCUAACAUUUUAAACUCGUAAAACUUAAAUCUUGAAUUCAAAACUUGCAUUUGCUUUUCCUAUUAUAAAAUUGAUCCCAUAUCUCUCUCUAUGUCCCAAUAAUUAGUGAAAUGUAAAGGUAGUCGGGUGUGUAAACAAAGUCCUAUAUUAACGGCCGAUAAAAUUAAUAAGAUACGAUAUAAGAUGUAAGACUUGUUAAUGAUGUGAGAAAAUCGCGAAGACAGACAAUCUAUAGUACUUUAGCUUCUUCUUCCUCUUUUUUUUUUUUCCCUUGAAAGUUCAAAUAAUUAUAAAGACCCCAAUGAUAUCUUAAUAUACAAUCCAAAAGGUCAUCACCAAAUUUGCGUAAAAGCCACUUAAUUGCCUCACCUAGCUUCUCUUCUCUCUAGCUCUUUAACCUUAAAUUCCAUCUUUUUUCUUCACUCCACUCCACACUUGUUGAAAUUAUAUAUAUUUCUUGGUGAAAGUAAUAACCUUUGUAAUUAGCCUGAAUAUGAUCUACUACUAUUAUUUCUUGUUAGAUCAUUAAUUUUUUUGAAAACCCCUAGUCCAAUGGGGCGUCACUCUGUUUUUGUUAAAGAAAAAACAAGGAAAGGAUUGUGGUCACCAGAAGAAGAUGAAAAAUUGUACAAUUAUAUCACUAGAUUUGGUGUUGGAUGUUGGAGUUCAGUCCCUAAACUAGCUGGUAUUAUAUUCUUACCAUUUCAUUAAUUUCAUUUAGGUCACAGGUUCGAGUCGUAGAAGCAGUGAGCCACUAAUGUUUGUAUUAGGAUGGACCGUACGGGGUGCAACCCUUCAUUGGACCUUGCUAAUGCGGGAUGCUUAGUGUAUUACACUGACUUCUUUGUUGGUAUAUAUAUAGUAAUGGAAUUGGAAUGAUGACAUUUUGAUAGUGUGAGAGAUCCUUGUAGGUUUACAAAGAUGUGGAAAGAGUUGCAGAUUGAGAUGGAUAAAUUACUUGAGGCCUGAUCUAAAAAGAGGAAUGUUUUCACAGGAAGAAGAGGAUAUGAUCAUUACUCUACACAAAGUUCUUGGGAACAGGUCAUUAAUACUUGUUUCUUAUUAGAUAAAUGUAACUUACUCAUAUGCUAUCUUUUCAUAUGAAUUCAUUAUGCUUUACUUGAACCGCUGGUCUAUUAGAUCCAUGAUCUCGUAAUGGUAAUGGUAAGAUUGCAUACAUACCACCUUCCUCAUACCCUUACAUUGUUGUUGUUGUUUGUAUAAAGACCAAAGAAGAAUUUUGAACUAAAGAUGAGGUUCUUUCACUUGUUUAAUUUCCUCACCCUUUUGGGUUGUUUUGACAAGUGUUUAUUUGUUAAUUCUUUUGUUUCCAGAUGGGCACAAAUUGCAGCAAAAUUACCGGGAAGAACAGAUAACGAGAUAAAGAAUUUCUGGAAUUCAAAUUUGAAGAGGAAGCUAAUAAAGCAAGGCAUAGAUCCAAAUACCCACAAGCCACUAAGUGAAAAUCAUCAAGUAAGAAAUGAGCCGAAUUGUACAGAUAAGACCUCAAGUUUGCUGAUGCCCAAGCUCCCAAAUAUGUCAGAUUCAGCUGAAAUACAGCAACCAUUUCAUUUUUUCAAUAGUAAAAGAAAUUUCAACAGCCAAGCAGUUACUAGAGAGUUAACAGAAGUUUCAAAAAACCAACUUGUGAGUAAACAGGUCUUUGAUCCUCUGUUUCUGUAUGAGUUCCAAGCAAGUGUGAAUCCAAUUGGACCUUAUGCUCAUCAUCACAACCAAAUUGAAGGGAAUCAAGAUUUUGGGUUUUGCUCAAAUUUUCAACAUGUACACAUGACAACAGAGAGCGAUAUUUCUGAUAGCUCAACUUCAAGAAUGAGUACAAGUAACAGUUCAAAUACUAUGAUUAGCCAUUACAAUUCUGUUGGAAUUCAGAUGAAUGAAAUGUUGGAAUGGGAUGCUGACAACAAAAUUGAUUCUCUUAUUCAGUAUCCUUAUGUUGGUAUCAAGAAUGAAGAAAAUUACAGUAAUAAUAAUAAUACAUUGAGUGGGGAAAAUCUUGAUGUGUUCCACCAUAUCUAAAAUUUUGUAAAAUUUCAUCUUCUUAUAUAUACCUAGAAAUGUACAAAACUUGCAUCUUCUUUGAGAUGUUUUGGCCAGAAGUGCAGUUCCUUAUUAAAAAUGGAUUUGUUGUUGCAUUUUUGUUUAGUGAUUAAUAUGUUUAUUUGGUCAAAUAUUACUGCAUGCUAUCUGUCAAACAGAACAUAGUGUCCUUAACAUACUUUUUAACUAAGUUGUCAGUAGAAGCUACUAAGGCUUUUGCAUUUUUCAAAGUUCAGUUAGUCUGACUUUGAUAUCUCUUGUAUUCACAUACAAUCAAAAGUUAAAAACACACCAAAUUCAACAGCUAUUAUCAACACGCGUGUAGAAAAGUUGGUUGUGCAUUGAAUACGUAGAAAUAUUAGUUUUCCGAAAUAAGAAUGAGCAAGGUCAAUGAACAGUACAUGCUUUGCUAAAACAUGUCAUUUACAGUAGCAAUAUCCAUGUGGAAGCACCAAUUCUCAGGACUCUAUUGAAAGAAAACAGAAAUUGAAGUUUACGUUUUCUGUGUAUGCGCAGCAGAUAAUACGGAAGGACUACUUUAUGAACCAAAAAUCCUUCAAAGCUUGGCAGUCAAACCAGUGGUAGUGGGCUUUGAUUCACCAUUUUCUGAAGCAUCGCUGUCUUUGCUUUCUGAGUCACAUCCCCGUGGUGGAGGUACAUCUACAGCUGGAGAGCAGUUAAAGAAUCCAUGCGGCUGCACCAAACAGAAUUAAGCAUUACUUAAACUAGAGAGGAGUCAUAAAUCCAUAUUUCCAGCAUUUUAUUUGAUUCAUCAAUCAGACAUGUUUCAGUCCAGAAUUAAUUAGGGAGAUCGGUCCGUCAAUUUUCACAACUCUUUUAGAUUUAACACAAUACAUAACCAGAAGCUAGAUGAUGACAAAGAUACAAACAUAAGCACAUAACAUCUGACACCGGAAUACCUGAAGCAUAAAGCCGAUAUGUUCAACGGGCAUAACAGGCCAGUCCUCCAAUCUAGGAACAUGCGUGAUUCCAAAAACAUACCUGUGAUAAACUAUGUAUAGAUCAGAACAUCAAGGAAUAGGUAACUUCCCAAACACAUAUUUAAACAAAGGAUUAUCCUAGGAACAUGAAGUUCCAGAUCUGGAGUGUUACAAAAAUUAAGCGUGGAUAAUUUUCAAAACAAUUGAAGCCUGCACCUCCAAUGUAAUAAGAUAAUUUGAGGGUUGCCAAGAAACUAACCAGAGAACAAUAUCACUUUCUUCCAGAGAGCGAUCUUCCUUGACCCAAGAAGCUAGUCCCUCGCCAACACGUGGAUUUUGAUUAGGGAACUCUCCCCCUGGAAAAUCUUCUCCGGGUGCAUAUUGUGUAACCCACAGAUUGUGCUUCAGAAAUGCCGCUCUUCUCAAGAACUUAGCCUCAGGACCAGCCAAUGGCAAACAGUUCUGACCAGGUACCAGCUUGUACCCUGUUAGCUGACCUGUUCUGUUGGAUGUUCUUGUGUUCCUAACCUACAAAUCAAAUGUUCACAGUCAAAUUGAUGGCUCCAGCUCUAGGGAGAGGGAAUGCUCGUAAUAGAAUUUUUCCAUCCUAAAAAGGACACAACGAUUGGUCAUAUGACCAUGACAAAGGACUUUAGCUCUCUCAACAAUCAGUAGUCAUUUUUAAGGAUCACAUUCUACUAUGAACAUAAUGUCUCAGCAGACUGUGCUAGGAAAGCAACAUGAAAUGAUGUUUCUGUCAAAAGAAAGGAGGAUACAGGUGAGGCUUCUUACAAUCCAAUGACGAGCAGAUAAAGGAUCACAGUCUCGCAUUGCUUGCAAUUCAGACCUAAGUUGUGUUUCUUCGGCAUAGAAUGCGUUAUUGUGAACAUUUUCCUUCCCAGGUUCUUCAACUUUGAGAUUUACUUCAACAACCUGGAGAAAUACUCAGAAUAAAGAAGUUAAGAACUGGAAACUGGAGGUGAAAUUACUUGGACAUUUUUUGUUUGAAGACAGAAAUUGCUUAACUUUCAGAUGCACAAGAAAACUCGUUAAAAAUACCUGAUUGUGUGCUUCUCCUGGCUUACAAUCAACUGCCAUAUUCAUACGAGCAACAAAGAAGUGCUGAUGAACAGGUGCAUACAAUCCUGGUGAUAUUGUGGUGCCAUAUUUUCGAGACUCUCCAGGUUGCAAUGCUCCCAAACUGAGAAUUCCUGUGAGUUUGACUUCUGCUUCAAUUUUCCCAUCCUGCAGCCACAAAGAGUAUGUAUCAUUUCAAAAUGGUCAGUAGAGCUAAACAUAAUAGAUGAGAACAAAUCAAGAAAGUUCUGGUGGAUGGAUGAAAACUUCUGCCACUCAUCAUUGUCUCUGGCUAAGCCCUCCAACUCUCCCCCACCCCCCACUCCCAUAAAAGAAAUAAAGAUAUAAAAGCACAAGCAAGUAGCCCAAAUAACAGUGCCAUUAUUUGAAUCUAGAUUAAUCAAGCAAAUUGGAUAAAUAGAUUCUCUUAGAAAGCAUAAGAGAAUCAUACUUCUACUUGCUUUCUAUUCUUUGAAAUGGUCUAAAUAAAAUGUGAUAACAUUUAAAUGUCACCUGAUUUCUUUAGAACAUGUAAACAAAUGAACAUUUCCUGAUAAAUGAUUUUCUUAUUCUUGCCUGGUAAAAGUGCCAGUAGAAUCCAUAUUCAUAAUUGGCCACAGUGCAAAUAAAAGAAACAGUCAGUCGUCUAGACCGUCUAACUUCAGCAAGGCCAGUUCUCCAAUCCUGAUGCUUCCAAAGCAUCCCGUGAUCUUCCUCAUGCAAACAUACACAAUUUUUGAUGGUUUCUACUCCUCCAGUAAAAUUUGUAAAAUUGGCAUCAAAGUACUUUAUGUAUCCUAAACAAUCGCAUCCCUGCAGUGGUGUUUUAGUUAUAUUAGAUUUACAGUUAAGAAGUCGAAUGCACAACUAAACCAUAGAAUUGUCAAUUACCCUCUUAAGUGAAUGGGCAUUCUUUCCAAGGCCAUCUUCUCCUGCAUCAAAUGCAUUUUUUCUGUAAUGUGGAUCAUUUGGAUCCCCAUAGGGGACAACCAUCUCCACAAAACUCAACCUAUGGGCUAUGGAUCUUCGUCCCCUGCUACCAUCAAGAUAUGCCACAGAGUGUAUAACCAAACCCUCCCUAGGGGUGAAACCUACUCGGAAAUUCCACUGUCAUACAUAAAGUGAAAGAACGGCCACAUUAGUAUACAGGCAGAAUCCUUCAUUGCAUAUGAGACUGGAAAAAGAAUUUACCUUUUGCCAUUGAACAUAGUUCCCAUCGACGCGAAAGCUUGGACCCUCUGGCUGAAUAAUUUGUAGGGGUUUCACAUCACUUCGGUCAACCCCUCCUCUUGUCUCACCCGCAGUGUAAUUCCUCAGUGGAUCAGCUGGAAGUAAAGGUACAAGUUUGCGGUCUUCGAACUCUAUCACCUGCAUGAUUUGCACAUCAACAAGCACAUGUAUACCUUCAACUGGUCUUGCAUAUCCAUUUUCCAUUGGGCAGUAGCUCUCUGUUCUGCAGAAUAUUAGUGGUUUGGCAAGCCUGCGGCUAGGAGCAUCAGCUUCACUGUGAUAACCAACGCACCUGUAGAAAACAUAUUCAGGUAAAAAUGCAAUUAUAUUAAAAAAACAGUUCUUAAAGAAGAAGGAAUGGGAAAAUUCAAGAACAUUUCAACUAACCAGGGGUCAACCAUUACAAGGUCCAUGUCAUCAAUACCCCUUCUCUUCAUUGCUUCAAUAAAUGGAGGAUAAUUUUUAACCACAGAUUCACAGUCAGCAUACUCUUGUGCAUCCUACAAUCAGAAUAAAGUUGAGAUAAUUUGUAAAAACGGAUUACUGAAAUCUACAUAGAUUACAUAUAUACAACAUAGAAUUUGUAAAUUUUAACAUUCUUUUGGGUUAACUAAAGCAGAACAUUUUAUGCAAAUUUUGUUCUCCUUUUGGUUAAGCUCUAUGUUCCAUAUGACGGGAAAGAAAGCACAGUACAUUAAGAAGAGAGAAUAUGUGAAUUAAUAUAUGAAAAUAAAAAUAUACAUAGGAUAGGCAAAUACAGGAAUAGGUAAAUGCAUUACGAAUAAAAUAUGAUUAGCUCCCGUUAUAUAUUGAUUGAAUCAAUUGCUCAACUUGCAUGUAUAGACGCACUUGAUUAGCUUCUGGAAUCAGAAUAGAAUGUUCAAUUGGCUCAUAUGGUCUCUCCCAAUUGCCUAAAAUCCUUUAGGCCAAUACAAGAAAAGACAAAUUCUACAGUUCUACUGACUAUUUUGUUUUCAUGUGCUGUUUAGAAUCUCUAGGACAUCAGUAUCACAAGGCCACUUGAUAGUACCACAACAACAUAUCCAAUGUACUUGAUAUAAACUAAAGAAACAAAAAUUAACACAAGGAAAUUCAAUUAAAUGUUCCAUUUGGAUGGUGGAGGUAUUCACUACAUCAUUUUUUUCUUAAAUUACUUGGUGGAUCUUGCCAACUGAACAUUCUAAAGAAUACCAAAAGAUGACAUCACAAAUAUGCUUGAAAUUCAUGUGUAAUUAUUAGAGCUUAGGGUGAAAGCAUUUAGCUUGAAACAUAAAUAAGAACUUUGUAUUGCUCUUACUUUGAGUCCCGCAUCAUUUCUUUGGUAACCUAAUUGCAUCUUCUGUUCAUGUACUUCUAAUCUUUUGAAGUUCUAAGCAUGAGAAGUGCAUACCAUAGGUGGCUGAACAUCUGGAAUAACUUUUGAUGAGAUCACUUUUCCCCUGUGUUGUCCACCUCGAACAGCAGCAUGUACUUCAGUUAGCCGAACAAUCCAUACGCUUGUCUCAUUUGUUUUCUUAUUGUAAACAAUAAGUCUAGCAUGCCUUGGAGGUAGUUUAGAAGGAACAAGAAGUCCUCCUUUGGUUCUGGGCAUCAAUGAUGAUUGGAAAGGUGGGUAGAAAUAGGCAUCUGCCAGUGCAACAAAAGUUUUAUCUGGUUCCAACAGAACCACCUCAACAAACCGCAUGCCAUCUCUGACCUAAAAUGUUUUUGCAAAAAGUUAGAAAGACACAAAAAGAGUUGGUGGAAAUUUAGAGCAAAAGAUGUCCUGUUGUUCAACUGAUGGAUUUUUUGGUUGUUCUACACAACAAAUGGAUGUAAAAGAGAUGGUGAUUAUUUAAAAACCUCAGGCGUAUCACCGGCAGCUCUAACGGUUGCCACAGCCACAGAGAUCUCAGCAGCAGUUAAAGGGUCCAAAGGAUGACAAGUAUGAGCUCUAUGCAUGAUUUGAAUCCCUGCAUAAACAUGGAAUCAUCAAGCAUUCAACAUCUUACUAACUACUCCAAUAACAAUAACAAGAUCCUUCCAUUAGCAUUUUCUUCUUAUCUGUUCAUGAUAUUUUCUGAAGUUACUUCAUCUAUAUAUGCGUUUUGCAACAAAAAUAAGAAAAUCGGUCACAUCUGCACAAAACAGAGGACGGACAUCGUAGAUUGACAGUCCAUAUAUAUAUAGUUCAAUAAAUGCACUAAAGUGGAACAAAUGGAUAUACAAAAUAGGUCUCAUAUAAUUUGAAAUUUAGGCAUAGUUGAUUGAUUCAUUUUCAAUUUGAUAGAAUAACACUCUACGUCAAUAAUCUCAGGGUAAAAUACAAUACAUAUAAAUACAUAAAUACAUACAUAUAUAUACAUAAAUAUAUACAUAAAUACAUACAUAUAUAUAUAUAUAUAUAUAUAUAUAUAUAUAUAUAUAUAUUGGACCAUGCAAUUGUACACUUAAACUGGCUAAGUUUCAAAAGUAGACCCAACUAUUGACUAAACAAAACUUACUUCUCCAAUACCAAAAUCAACCCCGUGAGCACAAAAAUCACAUGAAAUUUCUCGAUAGCUAUGAUAAAUAAUUGAAUAUAAAUGCAACGCAACCAACUCAGUGAAUCGGUUACCGAGAAAAUCAUAAAUCAUAAACAGAAAAAGAAACUAAUACAUCUGAAUGGUCAUUUGCAUUCGUAAACCUCACGGAAAAUGCAGGGCAAUCAACUCAGUGAUGUGAAGCCGUUAUCGAGAAAUCAUAAAUCACAAACAGAAAAGAAACUAAUGUAUCUGAAUCGCCAUUUCCAUCCGUAAACCUCAAGAAAAAUGAAGCUCAAUCAACUCUUUAAAUCAGUUACCGAGAAAAUCAUAAAUCAAAAACAGAAAAGAAGCUAAUGCAUCUGAAUCGCCAUUUCCAUCUGUAAACCUCACAAAAAAUGAAGCACAAUCAACUUAAUGAAGCGGUUAUGCAGAAUAUCAUAAAUCACAAACAGAGAAAGCAUCUGAAUCGCCAUUUCCAUCCUAAAACCUCACGAAAUUCAUACAUGCAAAUAGUCAAACAACAAACAGAUACAAUACAAUGCUAUAUACUCCGAAUUCCUAUCGUCAAAAUUCAAAUUACACACAAAACACUCGCAUUAAUGAUUCAUUACCUUUGCUAGACGCAGUUGCCGGUGUUUGUUCCUUCUGAUUGUCGACGACAACGGAGUCAACAGCGGAAUCGGAAACGGACACGGCAGUAUUCUCACGACGGACAACAGAAACAGAGGUCGGAGGGAUGAAAGAAGCAGCAGCAGCAGCAGUAGUAUUAGUAGGAGUAGGAAUCACGUUUUGUGAGGUUUCAGCCAUUGCGACUACUACUUAUACUGUGAUGAUCACGGUGUACUGAAGGUUUAAUUAUUCACGCGCUUCGACACUCAAAAUCAGUGACUGAUCGAUCAGCAAAUACUCUGUUGUGCUUUUUCUCGCCACUCUGCUUCUGCGAAUAGUUUGUUACGUCUGUGCUAUGGCACUAUGCUCAGAGCUUAAAGUUUGUGACAGUUUAUUUUGUUUAGAUUUCCAAAUUAUUUAGGAGUGCUAAUAAUCUGAGAAAACAGUUAUUUAAGCCUAUCUAUUCUCUAUUUUUAUGUAUUAUUUGACUUGGUAUCAUAUUUUUAAAAUAUAUAAAUAUAGAAUUUGAUAUUUUUAUAAUAUUAUUUGACUUAGUAUGAUAUAAUUUAGAUAAUUAUGAUAACUUCAUCGAUUCUCCAGUAACUAAAUAUAUGAUUAAUUAAUAAGAUUGUAAAUUAUUUAUUUACUUUAAAAUAAAAUAUUUUUAAUUAAGUUUAUUUGUUUGAAUGGAGUAGAGAGAUAAAUAUGUCUCACAUGCAUGUUAUGUCAUAUUUCUUUGUUUGACUAGUGAAAUUAAGGAGUUAUAAUCCCCACUUUAAUUUUCUAAUUUUCAAGUACCCAAUUUUCAACUAAAGAUUUAUUUUUUAAAAAAAUAUUUGAUCUUUAUAAUCAAACAUCUAUUAUAGGUUUACAUAUGAAUUGAGAGAAUUUUUUUUUGUGUAUACAACAAUGUGCCUCUCAUUAUUUAUUUUUUUGGAUUGAUAAGUUGAAUUAAUGAGUUGAUCACAUGUUAUCAUGAGGUAGAAAAUGAUUGAGUCAAAUGUUAAGGGGAGAAAAAUAAGAGAAAUAUGGCAAAGUCAAAUAUAUAUAAAUCAAAUAAAUAUAACAUGGCAAAGUCAAAUGUGAAACACAUUUUUGUUACAUAAUUUCAACGAAAAAGGGUUUUGAUAUAUUCUCUCAAUUUUGUCACUUGGAGUUAAUAUACUCUUUAUUAUGAAAGUAUCUUAUAUAUGUCCUUAUCGUUAUAUAAACGGCUCACAUAUACCCCUAUUGUUACAAAAUAGCUCACAUAUACCCUUCAUUUAAAGAAGUUAAAAAAAUUAGUUUAAAUUAUAUUUAAUACUUUUAAUUUGUGUAAAAAAUUGUUUAGGGGUAUAAAUGAUUAUUCGAUCAAAGUUUAAGGUAUAUUUUAAUUUUUUUUCAUACAUAAAUUAUUUUUUGACUUCUUUUAUUAUAAUUAUUUGAGUUUCUUAUUUUUAUUUUAUUUUUUUCUUUCAUUCCUUAGUUUAAAGGAAAAAAAUUAAACUAUUUUUUUUGUCUAUAUUGUAAUUUGAUUUUUGUACUAGAGGAAAAAAAUUUGGUCAUCUACAAUAAGUUUUACAAGUAUAUUAGUGAAACAUAAAUAAAUUUGAUUAUCAAAAUAAUAAUUCUAAAUUAGUCAUUGAAAUACAAAAAAGUCAAAAUAAAAUAAAAUAUGUUUGACGAGGAUUAAAUUUACUCAUAAAGAAUUAUGAUUUUUAGAAAAAAAUAAUAAAAAGUUAGAUUAUUUUUUUUUUUCAUUUCCGUUAGAGGAAAAGGAUAUAUGUAAGUCAUUUGUUUAUAAGUAGGGAUAUAUAUGAGUCAUUUUCAUAACAAGGGAUAUAUCAACUCUAAAUGACAAAGUUGAGGAGUAUAUGAUGUCCUUUUUCCUAAUUUCUAUUUUGAUUAGCUUUUUGGGAAGUUUUUUUUGUUUUGUUUUUUUGACCUAGCACCGAUUUCACCAAGUUAGGCACAUUAGGUGUACAGACAAAUUGGUUAUUUAUCUUGUUUUAGAGCUAACUAAAAUGUUUUUAAUAUUGAUUUUUGUCUAAAGUUGUAACUUUGAUAAGGCCAAAAGUAUAUUGUAUAUAUCCCCUAUUCUUUUUACUCUCUUCAUUUAUAUUUACUUAUAUUCAGUAUAUAUACUAAGAAUAAUUAUUCAAAGUUUAUUUAUUCAGCUUAGUUAACUAGUAUAGUUUCGAACUAUAUCAUUACACAAUUAUAACAUUGUAUAUAUAGGUUCGUGUGAGAUACAACCACCAUAUUUAUUUAUUUACUAGAUAUCAGAUGUCCGCGCUAAUGCAGAUUCAACGUAUGUUAGUUUCUUUUUUAAUUUAUAUGACAUAAAUGAUAUUUAAAAAAGUGAAUUAAAUUUUUUAUAUGUAUUUUUUUAAAAAAUAUUUUAAAUUAUUAAUUUAUGUACGUUUUGUGUCAUUUUUAAAUAAUAUACGUUAUUGUAUUUAUUUUAUUUUAUAUGAUACUGAUUUUAGGAAAGUCAAUAAAAUUUCUAAUAUGAUACCCACAUAUUAAAAAUAUAUAUAUGAGAGCCCAUUUUAAUAAUAAUAAUAAUAAUAAUAUAUAUAUAUAUAUAUAUAUAUAUAUAUAUAUAUAUAUAUAUAUAUUAUUUUUUCAUUUUAAAAAUAUUUUGAAUCCAUCCUUUUCGAUUUAUAUAAAUUUACUUUUUUAUUUUGUUUCAAAAAAGAAAAUGACUUCUGAAUUUUAAUUUUUUUUAUAAAGCAUAUUUAAGAUCACAAAAUUAAAAAAUAUUUCAAUACACAAAAGUUAAAUAUAAAUAUAAAUUUUAAUUUUAAUUUUGAUUGAUUCCACCUAAUAUUAUAUUUGAUAUAUUAUUAUUAAGAGCUAAGCAUAAUCAUUAUUUAUUUACUUUCAUAUAAUAAAUAGAUAUCGCAAUAACUCUUUAAAAAAUAAAGAAAUAACAAAAAUAAGGUAAUAGUAAUAAUAAUCACUAAAGAUGUUUCUAGAACGAGUCUGGAGCCUAACUUUUGUUAACAUUUUUCAUCCUUUAGGCUCCGAAUUCUUUUUAGAACUAUUCAAUUUUCUUGUUAUCAUUCAUGGUAGAAUUUUUGCUUGCAUUAAAUUACAUUUUUACCUUCGAUCUUCAUUCACUUUAUAUAUAAAAAGAUGUUUCUCCAAUUAUUUAUUUUUGAUAGAUUUUUGUUAAAAUGAAACUAUAUUUUAUUCUAAGUCGACUUUAAUAUAAAAUAUCAUCCUAUUCAUUUUUAUUUGUCAAGUUACUUUUUAACAUAUUUUUCUUUAAUUCCAAUCUAAUAUAUAUUAUCCACUUUAUCACACUUAUUUAUUUUCAAGUAUAUUAUUAGAGUUAAAAUUAAGAUGAAAAUUUAAUUCAUGAUAAAUUUUUAUACAAAAAAUAGGCAUUUUUUAUAAGCAUAAUGAAUAGAAAAAAAUAUCAAGAAUGAAUUUAAAAAUAGUAAAAUAAAGUAGUAAUAAAAUAGAUAUCACAAUAACUCAAAAAGAAAAGAAAGUGAAGCAAUAACAAAAUAAGUUAAUGAUAAUAACAAUAACUUAAGAUAUUUCUAAAACUAUUUAAUUUUUUUAUUAUCAUUUUUAAUAUAUUUUUAUAAACGUAAAAUUACAUUUUAUCCUUAAUCAUUGUUCACUUUAUAUAUAAAAAAUAUUUCUAGAAUUAUUAAUUAUCUUUCUUAAUAAAUUUUUGUUAAUAUAAAUUUACCCUUAAUAGUGCUCCCACUUCACACUUUAUAUAAUAGAAAUUAUUAAAAAAAAAGUGAUAUACGUAGUGGACAAAUUGCUGGAUAUAAUUGCCAGCUGUUUUUGUUUGCUUAUUUGAUUAUAAAGAAUUUACAUUUAUUUAGUGUUUUAGUAAUGGUCACUAUAAAAAAAAUAAUUUUAACGGUAUUAAAUAUUAAUAUUAAUAAAGAGUGUUAAAGUCUUUAUUGGCAUUAGUUAAAUGUCAUUAGAAUUAAUGUCAUAUAAAGACUUUAGGGACAUAUACAAAAAGUGUUAGUUAUUUAACAAUAAUUAAAAAUUAAUUACCGUUAAUAAUCAUUUUUGAUGUAGUAGGUGAACAACUAGAUCAAUUCAUAGGCUAAGAAUAAUGAGAAAUAAUAUGAUCUCAAUACAGUUCUCAAUUCAUAGGCUAAGAAUAAUGAGAAAUUGAGAAUUGUAUUGAGAUCAUAUUAUUAUUAUUAUUAUAGUUAUUAUCACUGACUUAACUCCUUAAGAAACUACUUAAAUUAAUUUAACCAUAACUAACUAUAAUUAACUAUGUUACAAGAUAUAACUAACUUUUUUAUUUCAUUAUUCACCGUAACCAACUCUAAACUCCUACGGGUCAUAACAACAUUAUAAUUGUUGAUGUUGCAUUUUUAAUUUUAGAGAAAUUACUAAUUAGUUGUCAUUAAUAAAUUAAAACUUAGGAGAAAAUUUCAGAUAAUUUUCAAAUUAUUCCGAAUUAGUUCUACACAACAUUAGAUAAAUUAAAAGGCACCGAACGAACAUUUUCUUCAAAAUUAUCUAAAAUUGUGAUGGACAUAGCAUGGUUACCACUAGCUAGCAAUAUCCAUGCCUUUGAAUGUAAAUAAAGUUUAAUAUUUGUAUUAAUCAUAAACAAAUGCUAGUUUCACAUUCAAAUAUUAAUUUUAAAAUAAUAAUUUAAUAUGAUUAUAAUUUUUUUUAUGUUUUAGAAUAGUAAGACAUCAAUUUAUUUAAAAUAAUGCUUCAUAUCCAUUUCAUUUGGCUCAUAUUUUAUAGUAUAGAGUGGUUGAUUCUCGGCUUAACUACUCAUAUUUUAACGUGAACCCAUUUUUGUUCACUCCUUUUAUAUUAUACAAUUAUAUUAUUAUGAUAUUCUAAUUAUUAUUUUUGUCCUCACAUGUUUAAUCCUAUUCGUUUUAUUCUAUUUAUUAAUAAUCACUUCAUACUUAAAUACUUUAUAUCAUUCUCAAUGUCUAAUUAAUUAAUUAAUACUACCAACAUUCUUACAUCACCAAUAUAUAUAGUAAUGAUAAUUAAUAUAAUAUAAAUGAAUCACCUGGUGCCAAUAGUCCAUGACACACCAAGAUUCCCUUGUCUUUACAAAUUGAGAUUAUUUAGCAAUAUUCUUGUCAUUUACUUGAUAAAUUUAUUAAGAAAAUAAUUAUUCAUAUGAAUAUUUAUCUUAUUAUUCCUACUAAUAAAUGUUUAGUACUGAAUCUUGAAAAAUGAUAGGUAGAAUAUUAUAUAAUGCAAGGAUAAAAUAUAAAGAAUUUUUUUUUUAUCUCUUCUUAUUAUGUUAAAGGAGACGAGUAAAUGAAAAAGUAUCUGACUGACGCUUUAAUUUGAAAGUUAAUAUAAUAUCGUCUAAAAGUGUGGUUUAGUAAUUAAUAACACACAUUGAGGAUAAUGAGGUCUCAGAGUUUAAUUUUCAGCAAACGCAAAAAUACAUAAGUGAUUUUUUUUAAAUAUGCGUCUAAGUUUAUCCUCUACCAAAUCGCUCUUCCUUUUUUAAGUGCAAGGACAAUGGAGGAUUACGUGCUUUAAUCUGUCUGAUUAAUCUUUUGUUUAAUUUUUUUUCCAUGCAGUAUAUUCUUGAAUCAUUCUGAUUAUUAUACAAAAUGUUAAGAAUUUUAAUUAUAAUUUGUUCAACAACCAUAGAUUAGCACCAUAUCUUAUUGAUCCACCUCCCUUGAUUAAUGAAAUAAUUAGAGUGACCAUUAUGGGAUAUCUAUGACACGAUCGAAUGUCACCAAAUCCAAUAAUUAAAAGAUACUUAAUAUAUAUAAUCACAUUUCUUGUUUAUUUCUUUGUUCUUUUUGGUAUUUGUUUUAGGAAAGCUACUAGCUAGGUUAACUGGUUAAGUACUAAUUGUGUUGCUAAAAGAUUUAGGAGGUGUGUGGUAUAGAUUAACUAAAUUUUUUUUAGAAGAUAGGUUUCACUUUUCUUAUAUAUAGUUGGUUAAUUUUUUUUUAAAAUAUUUUUUUAUUAAAAAAUAUUUUUUUUAAAUAAUAAAAAAAAUGACCUUUUAUUGAAAAAAAAAAUAUAUUGUAACAUUUCACUCUUCUCCAUCCUCGCACCCCACUUUCAUAGCCUCCAUGUCCACAUUCACAUACAUCUCCAAACAUAUAUGUAAAUUGAAUAUGUUAUUUUUGAGUUCGUUUUCGCAUUCAUUUAGUAAUGCUACUGUUAAAGAAUGACAAAAGUCUCACAUCGGUAAUUAAUGAGAUGAGUGGACUAUUUAUAAGGCUUGGGCAAUCCUCCUCCCUUUGAGCUAGCUUUUGAGAUUUGAGUUAGGCCUAAGACCUAAUUUCACACCUACUUUCACUUUUACUUGUAUAUCUACUAAAAUAUAAAUAUUUAUUUUUAUUUAUUCAGUUUAAAAAAUUAAAAAAUAGUUCAUCGCUUAGUUCAUAAGUUACCUUUAUUAUCAACUAUAAUCUUUUUCAAAUAUUUCCUAAGCCAUUGAAUCUAUUAUAUUCAAAAAUAAUAAUAUAGUAAAAAAUUAUCAUUUUAUUUAUUACUCCUCCUGAUUAAGAGACGUAUCUGUUAAAUAAAAAGAUAUUUUCCAUUAAUUAGUUAGUUGUAUCUUGUUAGUUAUAUUGUUAGAGAGGUAGUUAGAGUUUGUUAGAGUUGUUAAUGAAAUGUAUAAAUAUAAUAUGUACAGAUUGUUGAAUACAAGUUGAAUAUACACAAACAUUAUAUUUCCUCUCUUCUCUUCUCUUCUCUCAUCUUGAAGGUCCUCACAUGGUGAAGAUCAAGGAUCUUAACAUGGUAUCAGAGCUUGAGUAAUUGAUCUCAUAUUCUUUCGAUCUUCUCUGCUUCUGGUUCACGUUUCAUCUCUUUUCUUUACUGUUUCUGUUUUCUCCUGUUCGACACCUCAACAAUGGUGAAUGCUAGCUCACCUGCAGAUCUGGAAAUUGGAGUUGGAGUUGUACCUACUAUGGUAACAAUCGAUCAACAUCAUCCUUUGUUUCUUAAGCCCAAUGAUACGCCAGGUAGUUCCUUAAUUUCGAUUAAACUAACAGGCCCUGAGAAUUAUGCAUUAUGGAGUAGUUCAAUGCGAAUUAAUCUGUUAGGUAAAAGCAAGUUAGGAUUUGUGGAUGGUCGAUAUCCUAAGGAGAAAUAUUAUGCUUCUCUUCAUGAUUUGUUGGGAAAAUGUAAUGCUAUAGUCCUUUCAUUGAUUAUGAACUCUGUAUGUACUGAAUUACUUAGUGGAAUUGUAUAUGCUACAAGUGCAUAUAAGGUGUGGACUGAUCUACAAGAACGAUUUGACAAGGUUAAUGGAUCUCGAGUCUUCUUCCUUCAUUCACAAAUUUCUACUCUUAACCAAGGAAUUUCUUCUGUUUCAACCUAUUUCUCAAAACUAAGGGAACUAUGGGCAGAAUUUGAUGCAUUGAUGCCAUGUCCUGGAUGUAAUUGUGCUGAGUCUAGGAAAUAUGUGGAACACUUUGAGUAUCAACGCCUUCUUCAAUUUCUUAUGGGUUUAAAUGAGUCUUACUCACAGUCUAUAAAUCACAUCAUGAUGAUGCUUCCUACUCCAUCGAUUAAUAAGGCAUAUGCCAUGAUCAUUUCUGAGGAAAGUAGAAGAUCUCUGGGUUCUUCUUCUUACAGCUCUGAAAUUGCUGAAGGGACAACCUUGUUUAGUAGUAAAAGCAACUCCAGUGUACGCACUAAUCAUCAGGGGAAUAAUUCCUCUUACAAGGGCAGAAGCAGAAGGAGUGAUCUCUACUGUGAUCAUUGUCAUCUCACAGGUCAUACAAAAGCAGUUUGUUACAAGUUAAUUGGAUAUCCUCCAGAUUAUAAAUUCAAGAAGAAAACAGGGUCAUAUAUCAAAGACGAUGAAACUAGUAAGGGCAAUCCUAAUCCUAGUGAUAUUGGAAAUCAGUUUGGGGGUCAAUCUGCCAAUUUUGCAGGAUCUUCUCACAUGUCUAAAGGUUCUACUGAUGCAUUUGGUGUUAUUCCUCAAUUUACUGAGCAACAAUACAAACAGAUCUUAACCAUGCUUGAUUCAGAAAAGUCUGAAGCUGAUCAUGUAGCCUCGACAACAGGUAUGAUCCCUCAUAGGCUCAUACUACUAUCACUUCAGAUGAUGUUAAGUGGAUAGUGGAUUCUGGUGCUUGUAGUCAUAUGGUUAGUUCUGUUGAGCUGUUAUCCCACACUACAACAGUAAACAAGAAUGGUCUAGGCAAAGUUUAUUUGCCUACUAGUAAUGUAGUCAAUGUAACUCACACAGGAUCAUCUUGUCUCUUUCCUGGUCAAGAGAUAACCAAUGUCAUGCAUAUUCCUGAGUUCAAAUACAAUUUGUUGUCUGUUUCUCAACUGACAAAGGAGCUUCAGUGUGCUGUAUUAUUCUAUCCUGAUUUUCGUAUUCUUCAGGAUCUCUCAAGUGGCAAGGUGAAGGGGAUUGGUAAAGAAGAAAAUGGCUUGUAUGUGUUCCAAUCAGGUCAUAAGAAAGCAUUUACAGCAAAUGUUGCUGCUGCAGCUACUAAUGUUUGUUCUUCAUCACUUGGAGUGUCUUCUGAUAGCUAUAGUAUGAGUAUGAAUCUUUGGCACAAGAGGUUGGGUUACACCUCUUCUGUUACUAUAAGCCAGUUGUUUGGUCCUACUUCUACACAUUGGGACAAAUGUAUCAAGAGUUGUAAUGUGUGUCCUUUAGCAAAACAAACUAGACUGUCUUUUCCAUUAAGCACUACUACAUCUGAGUGUUGUUUUCAAUUUGUUCAUGGUGAUGUAUGGGGUCCUUAUAGAGUUCCUACUCAUAAUGGAAAAAAAUACUUUCUUACACUUGUUGAUGACUAUUCUCGAUAUACUUGGUUGUUUCUACUACCUUCUAAAGCUGAUGUUGUUGUUGUGAUUAAGGAAUUUCUGCUUAUGGUUCAGACUAUUUAUUCUUCUGUAGUGAAGUGUCUUAGGACUGAUAAUGGGUGUGAGUUCUUUAACUCACAAAUGAAUGGAUUGCUAAAGUCUUUUGGUACUGUUCAUCAAAGUUCUUGCUCUUACAGUCCACAACAAAAUGGAGUGGCAGAGAGGAAAUAUAGACACAUUUUAGAAGUAGCAAGAACUAUCAGAUUUCAGGUUGGUGUACCAUUGAAAUUUUGGGGUUAUUAUGUGACCACUGCAGUAUAUAUAAUUAAUAGACUGCCUUCUGCAAUCAUUCAAGAUAAAUCUCCUUUUGCGAGACUUCAUAGACACUCACCUUCUCUAGCUCACAUGAAAGUAUUUGGCUGUUUGGGGUAUGUAACUCAGGUGAGAAAGGUGGACAAAUUUUCUCCAAGGGCUAUUCCUGCAGUAUUUCUUGGUUACUCGGUGUCAAAAAAGGGCUAUACUAUGUAUGAUUUGGAGUCCAAAGUAUUUUUGACAAGUAGCGAUGUCUUAUUUCAGGAAGAUUCUUUUCCUUUCAAGACAACUUCCAUUUCUCCUUCUCAUUUGUUUUCCCCGAAGGAAGAUGAACUGCAGCCAUCCUAUAUAGAGAAUAAUGCUUAGUCAUCCUUCAAUGUUCCUGCUCCUUCCUCUUCUGCAUAUGUUCCUUCUAUGGAUAUUACUUCAAUAGGUGAUGCUUCUGUUUCUGAAUCUUCAGCACUACAAUCUCCAGCAGUACCUGUUAGUAGAAAAUCUUCUAGGACUACUAAGCCUCCUAUUUGGAUGCAUGACUAUGUCCCACAAGCAAAGGAAGUGUAAAUUGUUGUUAUCCAGUAUCUGAUGUGGUUAGUUUUGAUCACUUAUCACCUGUGUUUAGGGCUGCUUUAGCAUCUUAUUCUGUCAUCAAAGAACCUACUUCUUAUACUGAGGCUAUUAAAGAUCCAAAUUGGGUUGCUGCUAUGCAAUUUGAAAUUCAAGCAUUACAAGAUAAUAACACUUGGAGUUUAGUUGAACUACCAGCUGGAAAGAAACCUAUUGGGUGUAAAUGGGUGUUCAAAGUUAAAUACACAUCUUCUGGAGCUGUGGAAAGGUACAAGGCUCGACUUGUAGCAAAGAGUUAUUGCCAACAAGAGGGGUUAGAUUACACUGAGACCUUCUCUCCAAUUGCUAAGAUGGUUACUGUCAGGUCAGUUGUGGCUGUGGCAGCAGCUAAAUAUUGGUCUAUUUUUCAAAUGGAUGUUCAUAAUGCUUUUCUUCAAGGAGAUUUAGUGGAGGAAGUGUAUUUGGAGGUUUCUUCUGGUUUUGGUAGCCAGGAGGGGAAGCAUGUUAUCUGCAAAUUACAUAAGUCUCUUUAUGGACUCAAACAGGCACCUAGGCAAUGGAAUAAGCUUUCUUGGAAUUGAAUUUGUGAGAUCACAAAAGGGAAUAGUGAUGAGCCAAAGGAAGUAUGUAUUGGAACUAAUUAGUGAGUUGGGAUUGAGUGGCACUAAACCAGUUAACACACCUUUGGAGACGAAUCUAAAACUUACAUCAGUUGACUAUGAUGAUUUUAUAACUAAGGAAGCAGGUUCUACAAAUGAAGAUAUAUUACUUGUUGAUCCUACUCAAUAUCAACGGCUAGUAGGAAAGUUAUUAUAUCUUACUAUGACUAGAGUUGACAUUGCACAUGUAGUGCAAGUGCUAAGUCAAUUCAUGCACAGUCCCAAACAAUCUCACAUGAAUGUUGCCUUAAGAGUAGUGAAAUAUAUAAAAAAUGCUCCAGGUCUUGGUCUUCUAAUGCCCUCAGAUAGUUCUGGAAAAUUUGUAGCAUAUUGUGACUCUGACUGGGGUGGUUGUUUACAGACUAGGAGGUCUGUCACAGGAUACUUAGUGAAGUUUGGCAAUGCUAUAGUGUCUUGGAAGUCAAAGAAACAAGAAACAGUAGCUAGAAGCUCUGCUGAAGCAGAGUUUAGAAGCAUGGCUUCUGUUGUGGCUGAAGUAACUUGAUUGAUUGGUUUGUAUAAAGAGUUGGGAAUCAGUAUUGAGGUUCCAAUUUGUCUCUAUUGUGAUAGCAAAGCUGCUAUUCAGAUUGCAGCAAAUCCCAUUUUUCAUGAAAGAACUAAGCACAUUGACAUUGAUUGUCAUUUUGUGAGAGACAAGAUUAUACAAGGUAUUAUCAAAACUCAUUAUGUUUCUACUAAGGAACAGCAGGCUGAUCUAUUAACCAAGAGUCUUGGCAGGCAACAACAUGAACACUUAAUGACCAAACUGUGCUUGAAGGAUUUAUUCAAAUCAUCAAUUUGAGGGAGGAUGUUAAAUAAAAAGAUAUUUUCCAUUAAUUAGUUAGUUGUAUCUUGUUAGUUAUAUUGUUAGAGAGGUAGUUAGAGUUUGUUAGAGUUGUUAAUGAAAUGUAUAAAUACAAUAUGUACAGAUUGUUGAAUACAAGUUGAAUAUACACAAACAUUAUAUUUCCUCUCUUCUCUUCUCUUCUCUUCUCUUCUCUCAUCUUGAAGGUCCUCACAUGGUGAAGAUCAAGGAUCUUAACAGUGUCAAGUUAAUAUUAUUGACGAAAUAAAAAAUAGUAAAUAGUCAGGGGGUAUAUAAGCUAUAUGGAUCUUUUAUAGGUAAGUGCUCAUUCAUUUCAAUCUUUGGUGAUAGGUGAUCGCCCAAUAUUGAUAUCAUAUAUGAUUAGGACAACCACAUUUACAACCUAUAUCACCAACUCUCCCACUAAAUAGGCCAUUAUAUUUUGGCUUAACAUAGUAGUAAUUAUAUUAAGUUUGUCUAGUCUAAUAGUUAUGAUUAAGACCUUGAAUUUUAUUAUUGUUUUCCUCAUUUUGUUUAAUUUGUGGAAAUUUUUGUAUUCAAGAAUUGUUUUAAAUACAAUUAACUUAAAAGUUUAGACGUAAUUUAUUUAUUCUUCCUAUAAAAUGUAAAAGUAUGUAUCUGUUUUGUCACUACAUGGACGUCCAUAAGCCAUGAGAGAGUAAAAGUGGUUGAACACAAGUCUUUCUGGUUAAGUUAAAUUUUAAAUUUUAAACAUCACAAUUUUAAAUUCGUUACCCUCCACCGAAUGAAGAGUUAUAAACUAAUAAAAUCAAUUAUGGAUCAAUCCGUUUAACGAGGGAUAAAUUUGAUAAAAUUAAUAAAAGAAAGAUUAUAACUUCAUUUUAACGACAAAGAUAAAAUUUAAAUAAUAGAUCAAAGUUGAAGGAUAUUUUUGACCCUCUUUCCCUUUAUUUCUUCUUCCUAUAAAAUAAAGGCGUUAUCAGUUUUCCUUUAAUGAGUAUCCGGUUUGUCACUUCAUGGACGUCCAUAAGCCAUGAGACAAUGAGUGGUUGAACGCAGUGUCUCUCUAGUUAAGUUAGAUUUUAGUCUUUUCGACUUAACACAUAUGUCAUUUAAUUUGAUCUAAAUAAAAUCAAAUAAAUAAAAAAACAUGCAUCCUCCUAAGCUACUUACUCAAAUCAUUGAUGAUACAGAAAUGGGGCUGCAUUUGGAAAAUUAAUAUUAAAUUAAGUCGAUACAAGAAUAUAUCGUAAUGGUAUCAUAUAGAAAAUUAAUAAAUAAUAAAGUUUUGUUUAAUUGUUUUUCUUUUUGCAUCUUUAACAUAUUAAUUCUGUUAACAUGACUUUCUUAUUUGUAGCACACUUUUUAUAUAUUUUACUCAUGUCAAGAACCUCUUUUGCGUACCAUACACACAGUGCACUUGAAAUGGUGCUAUUUCUUUUAUAUUAUUAUCCUCUCCAAAAAAAAUGUCACUUGCUUGGCUCAGGAAGAAGAAUAGAAUGUGUAUAGUUAAAUAAUAAAAGUAUACUCUUAGAUAAAAUGGUCACACACCUCAAUCAAAAGUUUCUCAAAUGAAGAGUUAUAAACUAAUACAACACCAUAAAUAACCACUAGCAAAAAAAAAAAGGAGGGGAAAGUCAAAUAUUUGAGAGAAUGGGUAAAUGCAUUAAGGUUAUUUGGGAGAAUGGAGUCGGGUUAUUGAGGUUUAAAUAAGGAAUAUAAUUUAUUUUUUUUUUUUAAAAUGAGAUCAAUUUGGGUCAAUCCAUCUAAUGAGGGGUAAAUUUGGUGAAAUUAAUAAAAGAAAGGAUAAAAUUAACUUCAUUUUAAUGAUGAGGGUAAAAUUUAAAAAAAUAAAUCAAAGUUAGAAGGAUAUUUUUGUCCCUCUUUCCCUUUAUUUGUUCUUCCUAUAAUAUAAAGGCGUCAUCAGUUUUCCUUUAAUGAGUAUCCGGUUUGUCACUUCAUGGACGUCCAUAAGCCAUGAGACAACGAGUGGUUGAACACAAUGUCACUGUAGUUAAGUUAGAUUUUAGACCUUCCCACUUUAACACAUAAAUAUGUUAUUUAGUUUGAUCUGAAUAAAAUCGAAUAAAUAAAUAUAUGCACUUACUCAAAUCAUAGAUGAUACAGAAAUGGGGCUGCAUUUGGAAAAUUAAUAUAAAAUUAAGUCGAUACCUUCAACUCGGUGCACAAGAAUAUAUCGUAAUGGUAUCAUAUAAAAAAUUAAUAAAUAAUCAAGUUUUGUUUAAUUGUUUUACUUUUUGCAUCUUUAACAUAUUAAUUCUGUUAACAUGACUUCCUUAUUUGUUGCACACUUUUUUAUAUAUUUUACUCAUGUCGAGAACCUCUUUUGCUUACCCCACACACAUUGCACUUGAAAUGGUGCUAUUUCUUUCCUUAUCACAAAAUAAGUCAUCCUUUUCGACUUACAGCCAUGAGCUAACACUUUUAAAAUGGCAAUCCAAACAGGCUCUUGCCAGUCAACAACGACGAAUUGGUCGAUGAAAGUUAGAAACAUGGCAAGUUAAAUUCACCAAUAUACAUAAUUCACGCAAGUAAAACGUCACUGAUAUAGAAAUCCCCGAUAGACGAAACAUACGAGAGAUCAAAGGGAGUAUAGUACAGAGGUAGAAGAAAUGUAACAAUAAGUAAACAAGCACAUCCAAGUCCUCCCAUUGCUAAACUUCAUUCAUGUAUAGAGGAUUUUGCAGAAGAACAGAGAUCCAAGGUGAACAACAGAUCAAACUAUGAGAGGAAAAAGUCUGGGGGAAAACGAGAAGACCAAAAUCCAUAUAUAAGAUCAUGAAAACCUGAAAGUUUCGACCCAAUCCAAAAGUAAACAAACUGAAGGGGACGGGCAGACGCUUUACGUUGCACACAAUCCUCAUCGAUUUUCGCAUCAAAUGAACAACAUUCUUUUGCUAAUCAACUGGAAAACAAGUAAUCCACUACAUCCUUCUCUUAUCUUCUUCAUGGCCAAACUCUCUUUCCUUUCACUCUCAAAACAUCCUAGAAACUUCACACACAACCAUUACAGAUAUGGCUUGGACACAACAUCCUAGUUUUAAACUUUCUACAACCUCUAUGUUUUACAGCAAUAGAUGCAAAACUCAUUCUUAUCAAAACAAAGAACCACAAAAAAAAGGAAUCCCACUCAACCCAACACUACUCGCUCUAGUUGAUUCUAUCCCCAUAACUUGUCACUCCAUAAAAGAUAACUAGUUCCAAUUACUACUACAAAUGGGGAGCAAGAAAUGUCUAUACAAUGUCUAUUUGAUUUUAGUUGCAAAUACUAAACUAAAUAAUUACUCAAUUCAGACAUCAUAAUAAUAUAUGAUACCAAAAGUUCUAUACAACAAAUUACUUGUGAAUGUCUAAUUGACAAAAGACAAUGCAAGAGAAUCACAUUUGAAUAGGCUAGUCUAAUUAGUUCAUAACAAUCGAAUCUAUAUCAGAACGACAACCAAGAGGAUAAUCUGUUAGAACAUCAAUUCUAUUUGACAUAGAAUCACCUAACAUCUGUUGAACUUAAGCAGCAGGCGCAUAAUUGACACAAACUCUGAUAAUAAUGUCAAAACAUUAUCAAUCAUUUGAAAAUGUCGAAGGCAGAGAGUCAAGGAUCCAGAAAAAAUUAUACGCCAAUUUGUUGUAAAAAGUAUUUCAAACAAUUCCAAGUUCAAAUCUCCAUUAACUAAUCCAAAAACAGUAACUUUAACACAAAAAAAAGUAACUAACAACUCAAAUCAAAUCUAGGCGGUAAGAACAACAGCACCACCAUUUUCCUUGAUCUUCUUCUCUGCAUUCUUUGAGACCAACUUAGCCUUAACAACAACAGGCUGUCCCGUAGGCAAAACACCUUUACCCAAAACCUUGAAAUACCCAAAUUGGGUAACAUCAAUCAACGGGGCAGUACCCUUAUUGGCAGCAGCCUUGUCUUUCACCUCUUGAGGAAGGAGAGACCAUAGAGUGUCGAUGUUGACAGUAGGGCAAUAGAAUUUGUUACGAAGCUUGUGGAAAUAACGCAUACCUACUUUACCGAAGUAACCAGGAUGGUACUUGUCGAAAAGGAUCCUGUGAUGGUGCAUACCUCCGGCGUUACCUCUUCCUCCUGGAUGCUUCCUGUGCUUUCCGAUACGACCAUGUCCGGCGCUGACGUGACCACGCUUCUUCCUGUUCUUCUUGAAUCUGGUAGUCAUUUUCUCCUCGGCUGCGGCGGCAAAAUGGGGAAAAGGGAAAGUGCGGCAGUGAGAGAAUGGUAAGUCUAGGGUUUUCAGACAUUUAUAGAUGGAAGAUCGAUGGAUUGGGCCCAAUAGCAAUUUUUGCCAUUAGGGUUUUGACAGGGCUGUUAGUAGUUAGAUAUGGGCUUGGGUGAAAUUUGGAUAAUUGUAGCGAGAAUAUGAAGGAGAGAGCGACUGACAAACAGUUUGCUAUAGAAUACAAAUAAAUUAAGCGGUAGCUAUUUAUUUAUUUUAUAUUGUUAGUCUGUGAUUGUAUACAAUUAUCCCAAUUUUUGUAUUUGGUGGUAAAUAUAAGGGAAACUUUUACAUAUAGCCAGUUAAAAAUAAUUAAUUACUCUCCAUAGCUAUAGUUUAAUAAUUACAAUUCGUAAUUACAUGUUAUAUGGAGGAGAGAGGUGAGCGAGACUGGAAGAGAGAGGAGAGAGGCGAGAGGGGGGGGGGGAAGAGUGGGAGAAAGGUGAAUAUAUUGGUUAGAUAAUUGUAUAUUAUACAUAGGUAUUUGUAUAUAUGGAAACAGAGAUUGAGAGAGGGAGGAGAGAGGCAAGCGAGACUGGAAGAGAGAGGGUGGAGAGAGGCGAGCGAGAUUGAUAGAGGGGGAGAAUAGCGAGCGAGAGAAGGCAGAGAGUGGGAGAGAGGUGAAUUGUAUAUGUAUAUAAUUGUAUAUUAUACAUAUACAUUUGUAUAAAUGGCAAGCGAGAUUCGGAGAGGGAGGAGAGAGGUGAGCGAAAUUGAGAUAGGGAGGAGAGAGACGAGUGAGAUUGAGAGUGGGAAAAGAGAAGCGAGCGAGAGAGGGCAGAGAUGGGGAGAGGUGAAUUAUAUAUGUAUAUUGGUUUAAAAAUUGUAUAUGAUACAUAUUUAUUUGUAUACCCUGGCGAAUUAUACAUAUACAAACAUGAUUAAUUAUAUAAACUCGAAGUUAUCGCACGUAAUGAAUGUAUAAUGUUAGUCGCGAGUGAUAAUUAUAGCAAAUUAUAGCUAUGAUGAGUAAUUAAAUAGUAUAAGUUUGUUUAGCCGCGUAAUUUCCCCUGAAUAUAAGUGAAAAGAAAAAAUAAUUUUUUCGUGUUUUUCAAAUUUCUUAAAAAUAAUUCGAUGAAAGUUUUUCACUAGACUGCGAAAAACACAUUUAGCCAUAAAAUUCUAAAAAUUAACUUCAAGUUAAAUUUCUUAAUUUUUCAAAAAUUUAAAAAAGCAACAAAAAAAUAUUUCUACUUCUAUUUUUCACUCCAUUUAACUUACAAAAAAAAUUAAAAUAACUCCAAUUUAUAUUCGUGAUCGAACACAAUUGCAUGCAAAUUUUAACUAUCAUUUUUUCACUUUGAAGAUAAUCAAUCACCAAUUAAUAAUUGAUUUUAUUUCAGAUGAAAUAGCAUAUAAGGGACAACAAACAAACAACACAUCAAAUUGGUGAUGAAGUUGAGGUUGCAAGUCAAGAGUUGUUAGGCUUUAUAGGUUCUUACUUGCGUGCAACUAUUCUUUACCCCGUUGGCGCUUUACAUUACAAAGUCCAAUACAAGACUCUUGUGAUUGAUGAUGAAAUCGCGCCACUAGAAGAGACUGUAUGUGUCUCUGAGGUCCGUCCUGUUCCACCUACUCUUGCAUCUGAAACAAGGUAAAUGGUAAAAUAUGAUAUUGUAGAUUUGAAGAAAUUUUUUUGUUAUUGUAGUCUCUACAUGUUUAAGAACUUUGUUACAUUCUUUUUUUCCCAAUAUUUUGAUUGAAUUUGCCUGUUAAUAUGCAUUUUGCAUUUUCAUGUUGCCUUUGAUUAAAACUCUGUUUUGGCUGCCAACCACUCUACACACUUAUAAUUCUAUAUCUAUUUAGUACCUGGUGUAGGUAUGUACUUAAUGGUAAGAAAAAUAUGCACGAGGCAGACGCGAAAUCCAGGGGAAAUAGGAGAUCAUAAAUGCUUAAAGAAUUAGCAAAUUAUAAUGGUUGUUACUAUCAAAGACACCAAUUUGUCAAGAUCUACAGGGUUCUUGGACAUGUCACAUUCUAAGUAAAAACUAUACCUUUAAUGUAAAAGAAACUUUGUAUUUCUCUUUGGACAUGAACCUUUUUCUCACAUGGAAAGUUUUGGACCAUAUCAUAAUGUUCUGAUAUUACAAUUCAAUUUGAAGGAUCAAAAUGUAUGGUGUAUUCAACAUGUUGGAAUACCAGUGUUUAUCAUGUAGAACUGAGUGUUAAACACGCAUGAAAAUUGACUUUUUAGUGAAAAGUGCUAGUUAAGUUCAGUCAAGUGUAAACCAUUCAUUUUGCCUUUAGACUCAUUUAGGAUUCUUAAGAAGCAAAUACUGUUGUCUGUGUUGCAGUAGAAAUGAUUCCUUUAUGAAGUAAACAUCGUCGAGUUAUAUGCAAGAGAACUUAAUAACAGAAACUUAAUAUUUACUAUUAUAGUAAGCUAAAGUACUGGGAAGAAAACUUGUUACAUUGUUUUCUCAAUCGAAUUUUCUGGAAAAGCAUAUGCAUUCAAGGAAAUUCCUUGUAAUCUCAGGCUGCCUUAGAUUACAACUCUGUUUUGGCUGCUGCACUUGGCUAACCACUUUAACCUCUCAGAACUCUGGUGCAUUUUUUUGAACAUAUUCUCCUAUAUCUUGUCCAUUCUUUACUAGCCUGAAAUGGACAAAUAAUAGCAUUAUAGCAUGCUUGAACUUUGAUAAUUUCAUGUUGUGGUGGAGAACUAUGUUUACCUCGUGGAACGCGGUGGCCUGUUUCCAAUAAUAAGGCUUGUAAUGUUGACAACAGGUAUAAGGUCAAGUAAUGCUUUAGCUGGUGAAUUGCUUUCCACAAGCAUAGUAUCAACUGGUACCUAGCAGCCAAAGUAAAAUCAAGAACUGUCCUGUAACAAUGUUUUCGAAUAUUGGAUGUGAAGAUUCUGAUUGAUAUAGACUUGAACCUACUUUGGCAUCGUUGCAUAGGCGAAUGUAUUUCACCAAGAGACUCUUCCUCCUAUUAUUCUCUUCAUUGAUGUAGACUUGCACUUGCUCUUUGCUCAAUUGGCUUCUUGAUAAGUUCCCAACUAUCAUACAAAAUUCAACUUAGCUGUCAAAUUUUCCUCAGUUUCUAUAUAAAAAAAUAGCUUGGUGCUCAAAGCAUCUCGCGUUUCACGCAGGAGCAAGGUAAACAUCGCGCCCAUAGGGGUGUGUAAUGUAAGCAAUCUAUCCUAAUGCAAGUAUCGGUGCAAGGCAUCCUGCAUUCAUGUAAGGUACGUGGAAGGGCUUCACCCUGAGGGGGUUUAAUAUAAGCACCCUGCCCUGAUGCACUUGUUAGUGGCUGAUUAUCCACGUCAUGAACCUAUAAUCUAUAUGUCACAAGUUCGAGUCAAUUUUACCAGUGAUCCAAGCAGUCGUGUAGCCACAUUGGACACCCUUCGUCGGAAUAUUAUAUCGUAUAUACAAGUAAAAUGACACAACAAUAUGAUGUAGCCUAGUGGUUUCAGGCACCUUGAAAUAGUAAAGAUACAAAAAAUUAAAGUGUUUGUGUGUUUAGAUUUCACUACUAGCAAAAAAAAUUCACUUUUUAAGAAGAGCAGAUUCACUUUAGCAUUUCGACACCCUUCGUGAAAAUCCUGGAUCGAAGGCUCCACAUCCCUUUGUUCCUAGAAAGUAUUCACCUAUUAACUAACUUUUAUCUGACUUAAGACAAGAUAUAUGAUGAAAAAUCCUAGGAUUCUUGUCACUAUUGAGAUAGCAGCAGCAACAAGAAAAUUGAACCAUUAUAUUCAAUAUACUCUUGAAUUUCCUGAUUAUUGAAUGAAUCGCUGACGUGAUAUAUCGAAUAUAGAGAUAUGUAUGUACAAGAACAAUAGUUACCUGGUGUUGGAAUGUACUUGAUAGUAGGAAAAAUAUGCACGAGGCAGACGCGAAAUCCAGGGGAAACAGCAUGAUCAAGUGCCCAUUGAACAACAUACAAGUCAUUUUUUCCAACAACUACAUAAACAUCAUUAGUUUCUGCAUCUUUUAUUGUACUACUCUUGCUAUCUUCUCCAAUCUCUUCGAUUUCCCUAGACAUCUCUUUCGACAAAUCUUGAAUAUAGCCGAUAACAACGAUGCUAGUUGUGGUGCUCAAUUCUGGUCCCUCAUUUGAUGGUGGUUUCUAGCGAAGACACCAACAAUGUAAUUUUUUUGUCAAGUUGUGGAGUGUUUCUUGGAUAUGUCACAGUCUAUGUAACAACUGUUCCUUUGAUGUAAAAAGAAACUUUUUUUAAUGCUUAUAGAAAAGAAUGAUGGUGGUUGCUAACAAAGACACCAAUAAAAUGAAAAAAAAAAGGAGAGUUUUAUGUGAAUUUUUUUUUCAUGUCUAACAUCUGUAGCCUGUAGGGUUCUUGGACAUGCCAUAUUCUAAGUAAAAAUUGUUCCUUUUUUAUGUAAAAGAAACAUUUUUUUUUUCACAUGGGCAAGUUUUAUUGGACCAUAUCACAAUUUUAUGAUAGUGCAAGUCAAUUUCUAAUGCUUUGAUUUUUCUCUUUUUCCUUUACUUGUGAUCUGUUUUUUCCAGAAUUGUCUCUUUCCAUGCUUAAAGGAUCAAAAUGUUAUAGUCUAUGCAACAAAUCUAACUAUUAUUAUAACCAUACAACAUUAAAGUAUCCGAUUGAGUCAGACAUUUUAUUAAGGAGUGUUAAAAUGUAAGUAUGUAAACAUAUCCUAACAAAAAAGAUCAAAAUGUAUAGUCUAUGCAACACAUCUAACUAUUACUAUGACAAUAAAAGAUUAAAGUAUGUGAUAGAGUCAGAUAUUUUAUUAAGGAGUCUUAAAACGUAAGUAUGACAUACCUGAAGAAAAAAGAAAAAAGAAGAUCCGAUGAAGUCAGACAUUUUAUUAAGGAAUGUUAAAAUGUAAGUAUGUAAACAUACCCCAACAAAAAAGAACAAAAUGUAUAGUCUAUGCAACACAUCUAACCAUUACUAUAACAACAAAAGAUUAAAGUAUCAUACCCCAACAAAAAAGAUCAAAAUGUGUAGUCUAUGCGCGAAGACAAAAGAAAAAGAAGGGAGUCUGUCAGACAGCCAUGAGACCAUCUUAGUAUGCCCGAUGACAAAAGAAAAAGAAGGGAGUGUGUCAGACAGCCAUGAGACCAUCUUAGUAUGCCCGAAGAAAAAAGAAAAAAAAGGAAGUCUGUCAGACAGCCAUGAGACCAUCUUAGUAUGCCCGAAGAAAAAAGAAAAAGAAGAGAGUCUGUCAGACAGCCAUGAGACCAUCUUAGACCCGAGAUCUCCGGUCUAAGAACGAUCAUCUACUGCAUCCACAGCUCGAGGAGCUAUGGAAGGCUGUUAAUCACGCUCUAGUCACCAUUACUAUAACAACAAAAGAUUAAAGUAUCAUACCCCAACAAAAAAGAUCAAAAUGUGUAGUCUAUGCGCGAAGACAAAAGAAAAAGAAGGGAGUCUGUCAGACAGCCAUGAGACCAUCUUAGUAUGCCCGAAGAUAAAAGAAAAAGAAGGGAGUGUGUCAGACAGCCAUGAGACCAUCUUAGUAUGCCCGAAGAAAAAAGAAAAAGAAGAGAGUCUGUCAGACAGCCAUGAGACCAUCUUAGACCCGAGAUCUCAGGUCUAAGAACGAUCAUCUACUGCAUCCACAGCUCGAGGAGCUAUGGAAGGCUGUUAAUCACGCUCUAGUCACCAUUACUAUAACAACAAAAGAUUAAAGUAUCAUACCCCAACAAAAAAGAUCAAAAUGUGUAGUCUAUGCGCGAAGACAAAAGAAAAAGAAGGGAGUCUGUCAGACAGCCAUGAGACCAUCUUAGUAUGCCCGAAGAUAAAAGAAAAAGAAGGGAGUGUGUCAGACAGCCAUGAGACCAUCUUAGUAUGCCCGAAGAAAAAAAAAAAAGUCUGUCAGACAGCCAUGAGACCAUCUUAGACCCGAGAUCUCAGGUCUAAGAACGAUCAUCUACUGCAUCCACAGCUCGAGGAGCUAUGGAAGGCUGUUAAUCACGCUCUAGUCACCAUUACUAUAACAACAAAAGAUUAAAGUAUCAUACCCCAACAAAAAAGAUCAAAAUGUGUAGUCUAUGCGCGAAGACAAAAGAAAAAGAAGGGAGUGUGUCAGACAGCCAUGAGACCAUCUUAGUAUGCCCGAAGACAAAAGAAAAAGAAGGGAGUGUGUCAGACAGCCAUGAGACCAUCUUAGACCCGAGAUCUCCGGUCUAAGAACGAUCAUCUACUGCAUCCACAGCUCGAGGAGCUAUGGAAGGCUGUUAAUCACGCUCUAGUCACCAUUACUAUAACAACAAAAGAUUAAAGUAUCAUACCCCAACAAAAAAGAUCAAAAUGUGUAGUCUAUGCGCGAAGACAAAAGAAAAAGAAGGGAGUCUGUCAGACAGCCAUGAGACCAUCUUAGUAUGCCCGAAGACAAAAGAAAAAGAAGGGAGUGUGUCAGACAGCCAUAAGACCAUCUUAGUAUGCCCGAAGAAAAAAGAAAAAAAGGGAGUCUGUCAGACAGCCAUGAGACCAUCUUAGUAUGCCCGAAGACAAAAGAAAAAGAAGGGAGUCUAUGCGCGAAGACAAAAGAAAAAGAAGGGAGUGUGUCAGACAGCCAUGAGACCAUCUUAGUAUGCCCGAAGACAAAAGAAAAAGAAGGGAGUGUGUCAGACAGCCAUGAGACCAUCUUAGUAUGCCCGAAGAAAAAAAAAAAGUCUGUCAGACAGCCAUGAGACCAUCUUAGACCCGAGAUCUCAGGUCUAAGAACGAUCAUCUACUGCAUCCACAGCUCGAGGAGCUAUGGAAGGCUGUUAAUCACGCUCUAGUCACCAUUACUAUAACAACAAAAGAUUAAAGUAUCAUACCCCAACAAAAAAGAUCAAAAUGUGUAGUCUAUGCGCGAAGACAAAAGAAAAAGAAGGGAGUCUGUCAGACAGCCAUGAGACCAUCUUAGUAUGCCCGAAGACAAAAGAAAAAGAAGGGAGUGUGUCAGACAGCCAUAAGACCAUCUUAGUAUGCCCGAAGAAAAAAGAAAAAAAGGGAGUCUGUCAGACAGCCAUGAGACCAUCUUAGUAUGCCCGAAGACAAAAGAAAAAGAAGGGAGUCUAUGCGCGAAGACAAAAGAAAAAGAAGGGAGUGUGUCAGACAGCCAUGAGACCAUCUUAGUAUGCCCGAAGACAAAAGAAAAAGAAGGGAGUGUGUCAGACAGCCAUGAGACCAUCUUAGUAUGCCCGAAGAAAAAAAAAAAAAGUCUGUCAGACAGCCAUGAGACCAUCUUAGACCCGAGAUCUCAGGUCUAAGAACGAUCAUCUACUGCAUCCACAGCUCGAGGAGCUAUGGAAGGCUGUUAAUCACGCUCUAGUCACCAUUACUAUAACAACAAAAGAUUAAAGUAUCAUACCCCAACAAAAAAGAUCAAAAUGUGUAGUCUAUGCGCGAAGACAAAAGAAAAAGAAGGGAGUGUGUCAGACAGCCAUGAGACCAUCUUAGUAUGCCCGAAGACAAAAGAAAAAGAAGGGAGUGUGUCAGACAGCCAUGAGACCAUCUUAGACCCGAGAUCUCCGGUCUAAGAACGAUCAUCUACUGCAUCCACAGCUCGAGGAGCUAUGGAAGGCUGUUAAUCACGCUCUAGUCACCAUUACUAUAACAACAAAAGAUUAAAGUAUCAUACCCCAACAAAAAAGAUCAAAAUGUGUAGUCUAUGCGCGAAGACAAAAGAAAAAGAAGGGAGUCUGUCAGACAGCCAUGAGACCAUCUUAGUAUGCCCGAAGACAAAAGAAAAAGAAGGGAGUGUGUCAGUCAGCCAUAAGACCAUCUUAGUAUGCCCGAAGAAAAAAGAAAAAAAGGGAGUCUGUCAGACAGCCAUGAGACCAACUUAGACCCAAGAUCUCCAGGUCUAAGAACGAUCAUCUACGGCAUCCACAUCAAGGAGCUAUGGAAGGCUGUUAAUCACGCUCUAGUCACAUGGCCAUGCUUCAUCAACCAGACUUGGAUUCCUGUCUUCUUAGAAUUUAAGAAUACGGUGGUACGAGCCUAUAGAACAGAUCCUGUUCAAGUAAGGUCGU
RNAcentral lists this long non-coding RNA (64379 nucleotides) under Solanum lycopersicum (tomato). RNAcentral's name for it is "long non-coding RNA (SLYC_LNC000340)". The record is from RNAcentral. Lineage: Eukaryota; Viridiplantae; Streptophyta; Magnoliopsida; Solanales; Solanaceae.